Molecule: long non-coding RNA, 50636 nt
Filed under: Malus domestica (apple)
Lineage: Eukaryota; Viridiplantae; Streptophyta; Magnoliopsida; Rosales; Rosaceae
Description: long non-coding RNA (MDOM_LNC001349)
Source: RNAcentral
CAAAUUUGCAGCUUCUGUAAGAGCCUUUCUCCAUUGCUUUACCCUUUCUUGUUUAGCUUCACGUUCCUUGUCAUCUUUUUCUUCAUGGAUGCCCUCUUCGUGCUUCUGAAAUGCUUGAGCUAAAUCUCCGUUCUGCUUCCUAAUGUGAAGGAUCAACAUGAUAGAAUAUUGGCAAAACACGUCGCCCCAGUUUGUAUCUGCACUCCAUGAUCUUCACCAGCUCGUCAAGACACCAACUCGAGUCCGCAUAACUCUUUGAGAAGACAAUGAUAGAGAUCCUCGCCUCUUUGAUUGCCCGGACCAGUUCCUCUUUUAUUUCUUCCCCUCUUUCUAGAUCGUCCUCAUCGAUAUAAGCCUGGUAUCCCCUGUCAGUUAAUGCCGCAUGGAGGUGGCCCGUGAAACCAUUGCGUGUGUCUACACCGCUGAAUCUCAAGAACAUGUCGUAAUUCCAAAGUUUUGACUUGGAGGACGAUGAAGAGGAGGCUUCGUGGGUCGUCAUGGCGGUAUCCACCGUUAUGGCACUGCAGUGGUUCAGAUCACGACUGAAAAAUGGCAGUAGUUGUGCUCAUGCUGUCGAACGAAUGAUCCUGAAAUACCUAAAACCCAAGUCAAGCUCCUUCAGUCAACAAGAAUAAAGUUUUAAUAUAAUAAUGUUGGUGUAUGGACUUGAGAAACGACAUAAUGUUGGCCGGAAAGUGCAGAGAAAGAGAGAGGAAAAGAGGAACAAAAGGAGAAAGACUAUCCAAAUGAUUCUUGGCUGUGAUUACAGCUAUUCAUAGGAGAAACAACGUACAUAUUUUCAUAGGAGAAACAACUUGCCCAUCUUCAUAUAUAAUACAUUUCAACAGACAUAUUUUAAUAGGAGAAACUAGGGGUGGGCAAACGGGUCCAGGAACCGCAGGUCGGGGCGGGUAAUGGCGGUUCAGGGCGGGUACAGGCCGGGUCUUAUUUUUUUAAAGAAGAAACGGGGUGGGGGCGGGGAGGUGGUAUUUAUGGGGCGGGUCGAGUUCAAAUUUGUACAAGCAUGGGGCCCCGGGCCGACCCGUUCCUAAAAUGGACUGAUUGGAACCUGGACAAUAUGUUGUGGGCUUACUACACAAGGCAAUGGCCCAUGUGGGCUUACUGCUCGAAUACUCUAGAAACUAUGAUCCGACUCCUAUCUCUCCUGGAUCGAUCCCCAAAUCCCACUACUCUCUCUCCUCGUCGGCAUCACCGAACACAGAACCACCGAUUCACCACCAUCGUCACCCAUCACCGCCGUGGCGACCAUCACCAUCGCAGACGCUAUUAACCGUUAGUUUCACCCUAGGUCUCCCCUAUGUCUAUCACUCAAGUCCUCGAUCGUUUCUCUCCCGCGUGCGUCAUUCCCUCCACGGUUCUUCCACUACACUCUGUCACUCUCCGUCACUCUCCGUCAGUCACCUCCUCCACCACCCCGACAUCAACCCCGUCGCGAGUCUGGGCCCUGGCGACCACCACGACGAGCCAGCAACCUCGAUUGUCUUCCUCGAGUCCUCGAUGGCAUCCCAGAUUUAGAGAACUUUAGGGUUCUCUUUCUCCCUCCCACCCCUCGAAUCGACUGCGUCGACAUCAAAUCAGCCACCACACGAGUCACGAGGCUUCAAAUUCGGCUGGUGACUGCCCAAUCUGGUGCGACUCAACCGAUUCCGAGCGCUCUUGACUCUGUCGACGAAGAAGAAGAAGAGAAGAAAAAAAAAAAUAACCCGUGGACCCGGGCCGGGUUAGGUCAGGUUUCUGUGUUAAAAUUAGUUGUACCCGCCCCUGCCCGACCUGUUUCUUUUAAACCUGGGUCCGGCCGGUCCCUUCAAAAUUGGGCCCGGCCCUGGGCCCGGCCCGGCCCAUGCCCAGCCCUAGGAGAAACAACUUUAGUUUUUACUAGAAAUUUUUACCCACACGUUGCUACAGGAUUUGAAAUUGUAUAAAAGAUUAUCUUUGAAAUAUAUAAUAGAUUGUGUGAUUGAAGAUUAAUACUAUUUACACUGAAAACGUUGGGAAAAGUUUUACAUACAAAAGAUUUUACAAUACAAUCCACAUACAAAAGAUGGUAAAUUUUUUUCUAUCUACAUGCAUUAUGUUAUGGAAUGAUAUAUAUAUAACUAAGUUCCAGAAUACGUAAAUUUCAUAAUUUCGAAUUUUUUUGACAAAUUAAUCAGAUUCAACUGUGGGAUAGAAAGGUCGCCUAUAAAGUUGUGAAGUCGUGGAAGCAUAAAGGACAAAUAACAAAUGAGUUUUGAGAAAUUAUUCCACAAAAGUCAUUUUGCAAAAUGCAAAUGUAUUAAAGACGAUUGGUACAAGAUUAGUAAUCAUAAGUAGUGUAACAACAUCAACAAAAUAACUAUAAACCAUAGUUGAACAUAAUUCAAAUUUCGUUUGCAAAAACAAAAGAAAAAGAAAGAAAACAUACUUACAAUAAUUCAGCCUUUAAUCCUAAAGUCCUACUCAAAGAUCCAAACUUGAAUGCAAGCUUUCUGAAAUCUUCCAAACAAUACAGAUAAAAAGGUAACACCCUAGUCAGAAAUGAACCAAGGUGCGAGCUUUCUUAGAAACUCAGAUGAAAAAAUCAACAAAAUAGAAUGAAAAAAUGACUUACACUUUUAAGGCAUGCUCGAAUCGUGAUCUAAAAUUGGUGGUGGGUCGAUUGUUGGUCACCAACUCUAAAUGAAGAAUUCAUCAGAACCUAGAAAUUUAACAAAGAAUUUUCCAAAAUCAACAUUUACUAAAAACCAGUUACUUGGUUAUCAUGCAUGAUGGCUUGCCAAAGACUAAAUUAAGGAAUGCACAACUUUACCUUUAUGAUAUUUUCAAUGACAGCUAAAAGGUCAGAUUCAAAUGAAAAUAAAAGUUAGGACUUCACAAAACCAAUUAAAAAUCUAAUUCCAAAGUUACAAACACCAACCAAAUGAUUCCAGAUAAAGUUUUAAACUCAAAGUCAGACCCAAAUGAAAUUAAAAGUUAGGACUUCACAAAACCAAUUGAAAAUCUGAUUCCAAAGUUCCAAACACCCACCAAAUGAUUCUGGAUAAAGUUUAAACUCAAAAACCCAACAGAAACAAAAACCCAAAGUUCCAAACACCCACCAAUUGGUGUGACUUAAUUGUAUCUAAUUGAAGAAACUAAAACAAAAAUAAAGCAAAGUAUAUACCUCAAAAUAUCAACCAACUAAGUUCUUCCUCCGACAACCCAAAACUCUGAAAAUUCCACACAAAAAGGGUAAAUCCGUAAGCAAUUCAUAGCUUUCAAAAUUAACAAAAACUUGGGCAACAAUAAAGACACGUUGAGAACCAUCACUCUUUCUCCUUGUGUAUUUGAAAAUAUAUUUUAUAAGCAGUUUAUGUAGUCAUUCUGAUCAUGUUGCAGUUAAAUUCCUUUUCCACAGAGUUCAAAAUUAUAUGGCAGUUUAUGGCAUCUGUUGAACAACAUGGUUGAAAGAUUUAAAAUUGAUACAUUCAAUUUUUAUGUGUAAAACUAUAACAUAUACCUAAAGCUAUUUGGUCUAUAUAUCCAUAUCAAUCAUGUUGUAAUUAAAUGUUUAUCGAUGUAAAUAGAUGAUUUCAGUCAUGUGAUAACAUGUUUCUUGUUAGUAUACGCUGAAGUUUGGUCUAAGUUGGAUAAAAAUCGACCAAAAUCUUAGUAAGAGACUCUUUUAACUUUUAACCAAAAAAUGAGCACCACAAUACUACACUCAUAAGUUUUAUCAUGCACAAAAUAUACAACACUGAUAGCCACUUUUAGAGCAAGAACAAUACUUUACCAGACGAAAACAACAAAACACUCAAAACCCAGAAACAGAAACACACUUAGGACUCAAACUCCUCAAAAACAUAAGAAAGAGAGUGCAUGAGGAGAGAGAAUAAAAAAAAAUAUUAUUUUUCACAAACUCAAAAUUGCUUAUAAAAUUACAAAUCAAAACAAAUGAAUGCAAAUCCAAAAUUGCCCUAAAUUAAAUCUGUUUAGUUAAAUGUUUGUUGCCCUUCAAAUGUCAUUACACCUGACAAUUGCUUUGAAGUUGAUAUUUUGGUCAAUCCAGGGGAAAAGGAGUUAUUUCUUUUGGAGCAGUUGUCAUGGAGAAUCCCAUCUCCAUGUUGAAUGAUCUAAAAAAUUACUUACAUCUUCUGGUGGCCACAAUAAUUUAGGAGGCCCUUCUCUCCAGAUUUUCUCAAUAACUUUGCUUUUCGUAGCUGGUAAGAUUGCAACUCCAAGAAUUGCUCUGAAGAGAUAUAUACAAACAAAAUCAACCUAAAACUAAGCUAUUGGAACAAAUUUGGAAAACACAAACACCACUACAACUCAGAGUUAAAGUCAAUAGAAACCAAAUGGGAGAAGUUGAAAAAAUAUAUGGUCAUGAAUCGAGAACUUCAUCAAACUAACAGCAAUAAAAUCUCAUAUAAUCUGUCUAAAACCAAAAGAGAGAGAGAGGUAAUUUCAAGACCUUGUAACGCUAAGGCCUCGUACAGUUGUAGUAAUAAUAUAUGGUUGAUGCACCUGUUGCUCAAUCAAAUCCUUUGUCUGGCUAAAAAAAUAAAAAUCUAUAAAUACAUUCACGUCCAAUUUAUGAGAAAUCAUGGGAAAGCAAAUGCACUGAUAACGGAAUCAUGAAUAUGAAGAACUUGCCAAAAAGAAAAAGAAAACUUCUUAUAGUGUGCCAAGAACAUCCUCCUACUCCUAGCAAAUUUUUUAUGGCAUUAUCCACUUCUCAAUUCAUAAUUCAACCAGUAACUCAAAGUCUAUAGUGUAUGAAAAAGUGAUAUCUUAGUUGAUCACGAUGAUAAUUAAGCAGAUUAAAUGACGACCCAUAAAGCAUACAAAUUCAGAAAAGAAAAGGUUCAAAACUGCCAUAAGAAAACACAGAAUAUAUAAACGGGAAAUCAAAAGAAGAGAAGCGAAAAGGAAGAAAAAACCAAACAAAAUUAUUAGGUUUGUGAUAUACCUUUAUCCGAAACGCCACAAUCAUCAAAGUCAAACAUAAACAAUCCAAAAAUUUGUGGAAAAUAACAAUAAAUGCUUAACUAAAAACGAAAGAAAACGUAGAAUAAGUUUACAUGUUCUCCCCCUAAUUAAACUGGAAUACAAUUCACCACUAAUAUUCUCGUCAUCCUCUUCAGCCUGAAAAAUUUAGUAGAAAUAUUCAAUGAAGACGCUUAAUGGAGACAGUAAUAUUAGCAAUGGAGGAAUUGAAUUGAUAACUAAAACUGCAAGACCAAAUGACUACAAUAGGUUCACAACAGAAACUCGUCUGUUAGAUGUCUCAUCUUUAGGCAGUGCCUUGUUCUUUUUUUUUCUUUUUUGUCCUUUUGAAUUUCGGCAACAACAACUUUAAUAUCCUUACCUGCAUUUACCAUGAUUGGUCACUCUCAAAACCUUACCUAAGAGACCCAAAAACCAAAAUAACUGCCAAAAGAGCUGAACAUACAUAUCUAGAAAAACUUAUUCAACUACAUGCUAAAAUGGAAGUGUAAAAUUGCCAGGAAAGAUAAGAAACUAUUCAAAUACGAGUUCUGGGCGUUACUGCCACAAAAGGCACGAGCCGAGCGGCUAUCAACAAGAACACACUUCACAUUUGGGUCAGAUUCCCAUUCAUCCAGAUAGCUCUUGUAUUUCACAUCCAAAUCUGCAUUUUCCAACAAUUCCCACUUAAACAGAAACACAAAAUUCUUCCAAAAAGAGCUAACUUCUUCGAAAUUUGAAUCUAACGUUUCGUCUUAUAACAAAUGCAAUAACAUAGACUUGUAAUCAAUACGAUGCCAUAAAGUUCAAGCUCAAAAAUUCAAAUCAUCUCCAAAUCAAAAGCAAUUACAGAUAUACACAUGUAUACAUAUGCGUUUGUGUGUUUAUCUACAUACCUAGGUUUAUGGCGUUGAGAGCUCGGGGGGCGACCGAGGGUGAUGACGGCGACGCCAAAGGUGCGGAGAAGGCGAGGGGAUUUGCUCAGAAUUUGGGUCGCUCGUCCCUCUUAUGAGAGUGACUCAAAAAUCGAAAAAGUUGAAAUUUAUUGAUUGUGAUCUGACUCAAACAUGUGAUGAUGACGAUGCAUCACCACCUUGGUUGUGCCUCUGGAUCAAAAACCCACCAUCACCAUCAAAAUCGUGCUCAUUUUCCUUCAUAGGUUUGUCCCAUACUAGAUUAACCCCUGUUCCCUUAAUUGUCACAUUAUCUAAUGUAACGUAUGGCUCUGGCAUUUCAAAAGUUAUAUCAACUGUAUCCCCGCUUUGCAAAUUGAGCUUAUCGUUCGAUAUUUGUCCCUGCCAAAGAAAACAUUCUUUAUAUACAACAUCGCGCAUGAGGUUUUUUCUUUUUUUGGCGUAACAAUCGCGCAUUUUUAUAACCCAAUCUUCCUUGCUUAUGCAGGUCCGCAACUCAGUACGCUUGGUAUUAUUUAUAUCAAUCCUGGCAAGAGGAUGACUAUCUUUACAUCUGAUAUAAGGGCCGAACUGAGAAGGACUUGAGCAAUAAAAGCAUAACAGAGUCAGCCCUUCAAAAUUACAACCAUCACUCGGGGGGAUAUCAAAAGUGAUUUUAUUACCAUCGUUGACAAACUCGAACCAAUCAGGAACAUAAUUCCCAUUGAGAAAAAUGCCACCAUAUCCGCAAGAAGUCCAUCCCUAUAUACACAGUGCAAGUGUCAUAUAUAUAUACAUGUACAUGUGCGUUGUGUGUGUGCAUGUGCCCAAUAGGAAGACAAUUAAAGAGAGAGAUACCUUUAGGACUUUCCUCAUAAAAUCAGCGGUGAGUUCGGCGCAAUACGUCAUAUCAAUCCAUGUCAUGGAGUUUAAUGACUUAUCCAAGUCUGGAACCUCAGUGAGUGCAUGUGAAUCACGUACAUUUAGCUCUCUUAUAUUCGACAUUUUCGAAAAAUUUGGCAUUGUUAUCAAACGAUAGCAACGAGACGCAUCCAGAAAUUUCAAAUUUGUUGGUAAACCAUAGAUUGUAUGAAGGUUAUGGCAGUAACCUAACCACAAAUUUUCAAGCUUUGAAAGACCACUGAGGCUGGGUAGGGUAUGAAAAUCAUUAGAUGAGAGAUCUAAAUUUCUUAAAAAGUCUAAGCUGAGUAACGAAUCGGGAAAUUGCAAAUGAGUGAGAUUCGUCAAUCCUAGAGAUAAAUGAGUGAGAUUCUUCAAUCUUACUGUGGAACGCGGUACUUGUCUUAUGGCUGUCUCAUAUGCUUUAAGUACUCUCAAUGAUAUCAUAUUCCCUAAAUCCUCGGACAGUUCACUGAAUUGCCCACAAAAAAUCAAGAACAAGAGUCUGAACGGAUUUGGACCUGUAGAAAUCCCCAGGAAGAGAAAUAAGAUUCUUGCAGCCUGUGAGGUUCACCAAAGAAAGUUUUUUAAGAUGACCAAUGGAGGGGUGAAUCUCGGACAAACUCUCACACCAUUCCAAUAUCAACUCUUCAAGACUUGGGAGAUUUGAUAAGUCUGGUGAUUUUUCUAAGUCAGAGCAACCACUGAAAUCAAGGAUUUUCAAGUUUUUAAGCGACUGUUGCACAAAAUCCAAGAAAAAUUAAAAUUAAUAUCCAAAAGGAAUAUCUCAUAAAAUAAAUAAAUAAAGAGAGAAGGAAAUCCAAAAACAAAUAGAAACUUAACAUCAUCAUGUGUAAUCGAUUGUACCUUCGAGCCCUCCCAAACUUGUACCAGUUUGCUAUACUUUAUCUCUAAAAUAACUAGUCUUGGUUGAUCAAAGAAGUCAUCUGGUAUGGACUUUAAAGGGCAUUCAUUCCAACACAACCAUAUUAACUCUUUGGGGAGAUGUUUGUAUUCUCCAUUGAGUUGCACGUUGUAGAGCUGGAGCAGUCUCAGUUUCUUCAUAUUGGCAAAUGCUUCUGUACUGAUACUUGGAGACAGAAGAUCAGGGAAACCUACAACAAGUCCUUCAACUUCUUUAGUUCCCUGUUAACAACACAUUAUACUGGGUAAGAAAAGGAUUAUGUGCAUCUAUUUUACGUGAUUUUGCUAAUUGAGCUUCUUAAUGCGAAUACAUAUAUUUACACAUAAAGGUCGUACCCAGUGCACAAGGCUCCCGCUUUACGCAGGGUCUGGGAGAGGUGAAUGUCGGCUAGCCUUACCCCCAUUUAUGGAGAGGCUGCUCCCAAGUCUCGAACCCGAGACCUACCGCUCAUGGGCGAAGGCACUUGCCAUCGCACCAAGUGCGACCUCUGAAUACAUAUAUUUACACAUAAAUGUUUUUAAUGUAUGACAGCUAUACGUGGGUUACAUAUUUGCUUUUCUUGUACGAUGCAUUAAUACAAAAUUUUAUAGGGAAUGUACUUACAGAUUUAUCUCUCAAUACAUCAGUGACCUCCUGCUGGUUCCACAACCUACUCCAUUCUCCAGGGUGACGAGGGGAUUUUUCAGAAAUGAUUAAUUUGGCCAUUUCUCGAAGCAAAUCAUGUAUAUUCAACUUGUUGUCUUCAACAGUUAUAAGGCAUCAUUCACGAAGGACACUCAUUCCUAUUGUCGCAAAAAAGUCACAUCCAUCUAAUAUUUUUGUGACAUAGUCAUUAUCCCAUCCAAUGAAGAAACAAGAUAUGUCAAGGAAUAUAGCCUUCUGUUUAUCAUCUAGCCCUUCAAAGCUUAUUCUUAGUCGUUGUAUUAUUUCUCCUUCAGGAGUUGUUUUCAAUUUUACCAAUUGAUUUUCCCACUCUGCUAUGGUUCUUCCAAUUAAAAAAGUGCCUAAAACUUCAAGUGCUAGUGGCAAACCUCCACAGUAAGAAACGAUCUUCCUUGAGAGUUCAAGAUAUCCUUCAUUAGGCCAACAAUUUCUAAAGGCAUGCCAACUAAAGAGCUCCAGAGCUUCUUCUUCAUUCAUUUUAUGAAGCGGAUAUAUCUUGUCCACUCCAACUUGGCGUAGUAAAUGUUCAUCUCGUGUCGUUAUGAUAAUUCUACUUCCUAAGCCAAACCAAUCACAAUUUCCAGCUAUUGCAUUUAGUUGUUUCAUUUUGUCUACAUUGUCAAUAAUGACAAGUACGCUUCUACGUUGGAGAUGAUAUUUUAUCAGGCCGAUACCUUCAUCAACACUGGUUAUCUCAGGCUUGGUCUGUUUCAAGAUGUCAGAAACAAGUUUUUUUUGCGAAACAACCAGAUCUUUUUCACUAACGUUGUCAAGGAAACUUUUGAAUUGGAACUCAUGAUGAAUUUUGUUAUAAAUGGCUUUGGCAGCUGUUGUUUUACCCAAUCCACCCAUCCCCCCAAAUUCCAACCAUGCGAACAUCAUCUGAUCCACCACUUGAAAGAUAACUGAUAAUAUCUUGAACGCGAGAAUUGAUUCCAACCAGGUGAUUGGCCACAUGUAAUUUGUUUGCUCUCCGAAGCCAUUCCGGAAUAAUCUUGUCAACAAUUUCUCUAAUACGCUGUGCUUCGCAACUGAAAAUUGAAUUGGCAAGCUUAGUAAGCUCAGUAGGAGCUAUUAGUACACAAACAAUUUUCUUUCCUUCGUGUGUGUGUGUGUGUGUGUGUGUGUGUGUGUGUGUAUACACACUAACUAGCUACUAGCUAGUAUGUGAGUUUGUGAUCAACUUCAAUAAAAGAAACAAAUUCAUUCACUGAUAUAUUAAAGUUUGGUGUAUCAAUUAAACUCAUUAUGGUUUAGAUUUUAGAAGAAAUUGGAGAAAUGGUCCAUGAACUAUGAUCGAAUUGUAGCUUUGGUUCUUAAACUAAAAAUUCAUUAAAUCUCGUCCCUGAACUUAACAAAAUAUGGAACAUUGGUCCCUCCAUGUUAACACCGUAAGAUUUUCUGUUAAUUUGAUAACGUCGUCUUUGUGGGCUCCAUAUUUUUGUUUAUUAGAUGCCACGUUGCUUGAAAAUUCAAAUAAAAGAAAAUAAAUACAAGCAUUGAGAAACAAAGAGAAAAAAAAAUACUUUAAAUUAUAAAAGUUAACUCUCUCCCAUCCUCCCUUCCGCCUCACCUUCUCCAAACCCCAGCCACACCAUUGUAGCACUUUCCCAACAGCCAAAACAAAAGAAAAGUUCCUCAUCCAAAUUUGGAACACACCUCACCUUGCAAACGACUUCACAAUGACAUUCAUCUACGCUGUCUCGAAAGGUAAGAUUCAAGAAAUUUGUGGGAUGCGGGUUCGGGGUUCGGGUGAAGGCUGUGGUCCGUGGGCUAAAGGUUGGGGUCGGCUGGGGAGUGGGGAUUAGGGAUUGGGGGUUGGAAGUGGGAGGUUGACGGGGUGGGAAUCAACGAUUGAAGGUGAAGGGGUGGGCUGCGAGCCUGCGAGUGUUGGUGGGAUGAGGUAGGCCUGCAAUUAUAUAUAUAUAUGUAUGUAUGUAUGUAUGUAUGUAUGUAUGUAUAUAUAUAUGUAUGUAUGUAUAUAUGUAUAUAUAUGUAUGUAUAUAUAAUAUAGGUGAAACUAACAUGUAAAGUUGUAAACACUUUUAACUAAAACUGAAAGGAAUUGGUUACGAAGGACUAACGCUCCAUAUUUUAUCAAGUUCAAGGACAAAAUAUAAUGAAAUUUUAGUUUAGGAACCAAAGCUACAAUUUUCCUCUAGAUUUGAUAUGAGAUUUAAGGCGUAUUAAUUAAGCAUGUUAAUUAGAGUAAUGCAACUUAGAUAUUGAAAAGCACGUGAAUGAUUACCUAUUAUCAGUGAUUUGAAGAUGGUAGCCAGACAAAUUUGCAGCUUCUCUAAGAGCAUUUCUCCACUGCUUUACCCUUUCUUGUUUUUCUUCACGUUUCUUGUCAUCUUUUUCUUUACGAAUGUUCUUUUUGUGUUUCUUAAAUGCUUGGGCUAAAACUCCAUUCUGGUUCCUGACAUGUGAAGGAUCAACGUGAUAGAAUAUUGGCAAAACAUGGCGCUCCAGUUUGUCUCUGCACUCGAUGAUCUUCAUCAGCUCAUUAAGACACCAACUCGAACUCGCAUACCUCUUUGAGAAGACAAUGAUAGAGAUCUUCGAUUCUUCGAUUGCCUGGAACAGUUCUUUUUGUAUUUCUUCCCCUCUUUUUAGAUCGUCCUCAUCAAUAUAAGCCUGGUAUCCCCUGUCCGUUAAUGCCCUGUGGAGGUGGCCCGUGAAACCAUUGCGUGUGUCUACACCGCUGAAGCUCAAGAACACGUCGUAAUUCCAAAGUUUUGACUUGGAGGACGAUGAAGAGGAGGCUUCGUGGGUCGUCAUGGCGGUAUCCACCAUUAUGGCGCUGCAGUGGUUCAGAUCACGACUGAAAAAUGGCAGUAGUUGUGCUCGUGCUGUCGAACGGAUGAUCCUGAAAUACCUAAACCCAAGUCAAGCUCCUUCAGUCAACAAGAACAAAGUUUUAAUAUAAUAAUGUUGGUGUAUGGACUUGAGAAACGACAUAAUGUUGGCCGGAAAGUGCAGAGAAAGAGAGAGGAAAAGACGAAUGAAAGGAGAAAAGACUAUCCAAAUGAUUCUUGGCUGUGAUUACAGCUAUUCAUAGGAGAAACAAUGGACAUAUUUUCAUAGGAGAAACAACCUGCCCACUUCAUUUAUAAUAUAUUUCAACAGAGAUAUUUUAAUAGGAGAAACAACUUUCGUUUGUACUAGAAAUUUUUACCCGCGUGUUGCUACGUGAUUUGAAAUUGUAAGAAAGAUUAUCUUUGAAAUAUAUAAUAGAUUGUGUGAUUGAAGAUUAAUACUAUUUACAUUGAAAACGUUGGAAAAAGUUUUACAUACAAAAGAUUUUACGAUACAAUCCACAUCAAAAGAUGGUAAAUUUUUUUCUAUCUACAUGCAUUAAGUUAUGGAAUGAUAUAUAGAUAUAUAUAUAUAACUGAGUUCCAGAAUACGUAAACUUCAUAACUUGGAAAUUUUUUGACAAAUUAAUCAGAUUCAACUGUGGGAUAGCAAGGUCGCCUAUAAAGUUGUGAAGUCGUGGAAGCAUAAAGGACAAAUAACAAAUGAGUUUUGAGAAAUUAUUCCACAAAUGUCAUUUUGCAAAAUGUAUUAAAGACGAUUGGGUACAAGAUUAGUAAUCAUGAGUAGUGUAACAACAUCAACAAAAUAACUAUAAUCCAUAGUUGUUGAACAUAAUUCAAAUUUCGUUUGCAAAAACAAAAGAAAAAGAAAACAGACUUACAAUAAUUCAGCCUUCAAUCCUGAAGUCCUACUCAAAGAGCCAAACUUGAAUGCAAGCUUUCUGAAAUCUUCCAAACAAUACAGAUAAAAAGGUAACAUCCUAGUCAGAAACGAACCGAGGUGCAAGCUUUCUUAGAAACCCAGAUGACAAAAUCAACAAAAGAGAAUGGAAAAAUGACUUACACUUUUAAGGCAUGCUCAAAUCUUGAUCUAAAAUUUGUGGUGGGUCGAUUGUUGGCCACCAACUCUAAAUGAAGAAUUCAUCAGAAACUAGAAAUUUAAACAAAGAAUUUUCCAAAAUCAACAUUUACUAAAAACCAGUUACUUGGUUAUCAUGCAUGAUGGCUUGCCAAAGACUGAAUUAAGGAAUGCACAACUUUACUUUUUAUGAUUAUUUUCAAUGAUAGCUAAAAGGUCAGAUCCAAAUGAAAAUAAAACUUAGGACUUCACAAAACCAAUUAAAAAUCUAAUUCCAAAGUUACAAACACCCACCAAAUGAUUCCAGAUAAAGUUUUAAACUCAACGUCAGACCCAAAUGAAAUUAAAAGUUAGGACUUCACAAAACCAAUUGAAAAUCUGAUUCCAAAGUUCCAAACACCCACCAAAUGAUUCCGGAUAAAGUUUAAACUCAAAAACCCAACAGAAACAAAAGCAUUGGUGUGAAUUAACUGUAUCUAAUUGAAGAAACUAAAACAAAAGUAAAGCAAAGUACAUACCUCAAAAUGUCAAGCAACUAAGUUCUUCCUCCGACGACCCAAAAUUCUGAAAAUUCCACACAAAAAAAGAGUAAGCCCAUUAGCAAUUCAUAGCUUUCAAAAUUAGCAAAAACUUGGGCAACAAUAAAGACGCGUUGAGAACCAUCACUCUUUCUCCUUAUAUAUUUGAAAAGAUAUUUUAUAAGCAGUUUAUGUAGUCAUUCAGAUCAUGUUGCAUAUAAAUUCCUUUUCUACAGAGUUCAUAAAAGUAUGGCAGUUUAUGGUAUCUGUUGAAUGACAUGGUUGAAAGAUUUCAAAUUGAUAUAUUCAAUUUAUGUGUAAAACUAUAACAUAUAGCUAAAGCUAUUGGGUCUAUAUAUCCAUAUCAAUCAUGUCGUAAUUGAAUGUUUAUCAAUGUAAAUAGAUGAUUUCAGUCAUGUGAUAACAUGUUUCUUGAUAGUAUACGCUGAAGAUUGGUCUAAGUGGGAUAUGAAUCGACCAAAAUCUUAAGAAGAGACUCUUUUAACUUUUAACCAAAAAUGAACACCACAGUACUACACUAAGUUUUAUCAUGCAUAAAAUACACAACACUGAUUGCCACUUUUAGAAAACAACAAAACACUCAAAACCCAGAAACAGAAACACACUUUAGGACUCAAACUCCCCAAAAACAUAUGAGAGAGAUAGAGAGAUAGAGAGAGAGAGAGAGAGAGAGAGAGAGAGAGAGAAUAAAAACAAUAUUAUUUUUCACACAAACUCAAAAUUGCUUAUAAAAUUACAAAUCAAAACAAAUGAAAGCAAAUCCAAAAUUGCCCUAAAUUAAAUCUGAUUAGUUAAAUGUUUGUUGCCCUACAAAUGUCAUUACACCCGACAAAACUUGCUUUGAAGUUGAUAUUUUGGUCAAUCCGGGGGAAAAUGAGCUAUUGCUUUUGGAGCAGUUGUCAUGGAGAUUACCAUCUCCCUGUUGAAUGAUCUAAAAAAGGACUUACAGCUUCUGGUGGCCAUAAUAAUUUAGGAGGUCCUUCGCUCCAGAUUUUCUCAAUAACUUUCCUUUUCGUGGCUGGUAGGAUUGCAACUCCAAGAAUUGCUCUGAAGAGAUAUAUGCAAACAAAAUCAAACUAAAACUAAGCUGUUGGAAGAAAUUUAGAAAACACAAACACCACAACUCAGAGUUAAAGUCAACAGAAACCAAAUGGUAGAAGUUGAAAAAAAUAUAUGGUGAUGAAUCGAGAACUUCAUUAAACUAACAGCAAUAAAAUCUCAUAUAAUCUGUCAAAAACCAAAAAAGAGAGAGGUAAUUUCAAAACCUUGUAACGCUGAGGCGUCGUACAGUUGUAGUAAUAAUAUAUGGUUGAUGCACCUGUUGCUCAAUCAAAUCCUCUGUCUGGCUAAAAAAAUAAAAAUCUAUAAAUACAUUCACGUCCAAUUUAUGAGAAAUCAUGGGAAAGUAAAUGCACUGAUAACGGAAUUAUGAAUAUGAACUUGCCAAAAAGAAAAAGAAAACUUCUUAUAGUGUGCCAAGAACAUCCUCCUACUCCUAGCAAUUUUUAAUGGCAUUGUCCACUUCUCAAUUCAUAAUUCAACCAAUAACUCAAAGUCUAUAGUGUUUGAAAAAGUGAUAUCUUAGUUGAUCACGAUGAUAAUUAAGCAGAUUAAAUGAUGACCCAUAAAGCAUACAAAUUCAGAAAAGAAAAGGUUCAAAACUGUCAUGAGAAAAUACAGAAUAUAUAAACAGGAAAUCAAAAAAAGAGAAGUGAAAAAGGAAGAAACAACCAAACAAAAUUAUUAGGUUUGGGAUAUACCUUUAUCUGAAACGCCACAAUCAUCAAAGUCAAACUUAAACAACAACAACAACAACAACAACAACAAAGCCUUUUCCCACUAAGUGGGAAAGUCAAACUUAAACAAUCCAAAAAUUUGUGGAAAAUACCAAUAAAUGCUCAACUAAAAACGAAAGAAACGUAGAAUAAGUUUACCUGUUCUGCCCCUAAUUAAACUGGAAUACAAUUCACCACUAAUAUUCCUUGGUGUAUGCUUUUCGCAGACGAUAUAGUGUUGAUAGAUGAAACUCAGGAAGGGGUAAAUGCAAAGCUUAACCUUUGGAGAGAAGUGUUGGAAUCUAAAGGUCUUCGCCUAAGCCGAUCAAAGACAGAAUAUAUGGAGUGCAAGUUCAGUGCAAAUGGAGGCCAAAACGAGUUAGGGGUGAGGAUCGGAGAUCAAGAAAUACUAAAGAGCGACCGUUUUCGUUACCUAGGAUCUAUCUUGCAAAAGAACGGAGAAUUAGAUGGAGAUCUCAACCAUAGAAUACAAGCUGGAUGGAUGAAGUGGAAGAGUGCAUCCGGCGUGUUAUGUGACCGCCGUAUGCCACUGAAGCUCAAGGGAAAAUUUUAUAAGGACGGCAAUAAGGCCGGCGAUGCUGUAUGGCACAGAAUGUUGGGCGGUGAAACAUCAAACACGUACACAAAAUGGGUGUAGCGGAGAUGAGGAUGCUUCGUUGGAUGUGUGGGCACACGAGAAAGGAUAAGAUUAGGAAUGAGGAUAUCCGGGGUAAAGUAGGAGUAGCCGAAAUUGAAGGAAAGAUGAGAGAAAAUCGGUUACGGUGGUUUGGACAUGUGCAAAGAAAGGCCUACUGACGCUCCGAUUAGAAGAUGCGACUAUGGGACAGAGGUUCAGGGCCGAAGGGGUAGAGGAAGACCUAGGAAAACUUUGGAAGAGACUCUAAGAAAAGACUUAGAGUACUUGGAUCUAACGAAGGACAUGACACAGGAUCGAGCACAAUGGCGUUCUAAGAUUCAUAUAGCCGAUCCCACUCAGUGACUUGGAUUUUCCAAGUCUCCAACCGAGAAGUUUUCCUCACUCGGAAAAUUAAGGGAACACUACCCCAACCUACAUGCUCCACUCAGAAAGCUUCAACAUACAAGCUUCAACAAAAGAAAAUUCAAAGAACUUAGCGAAGAAGGCUUUGGUGUAUUAACACAAUACGUUGAAAUGAAGGAAAGCUUAUUUAUUGAUAUCCCCGAUAAGCUACAAAUAUGUACAUAUACAUGAGUCAAAAUAAACACACAAGAGGGAGCCUUCACAAAGGUUGCUUAGGAGAAGUCUCAGCAGUCGGUAGAGCCCCAGAAAGAGAAGGCACCGGAGGGGGAUCAUUUGGAGCCUCAGUACUGGACAGAACCCUAGAAGGAGGAGGCAUCAGAGGUUGAUCAUUUGGAGCUUCAUUACGCGGUACAGCCCCAGAAGACGAAGGCAAUAAAUGCCUUUGGAACAAACCCACAAAUCUCUGAUGAUCAAGUAAAACCUGACCAUCAGUUUCCUUCAUCUGGUCAAGCUUCCUCUUCAUGUUUGUAGCAUAGUCAUGUGCGAGCCGGUGCAACUGUUUAUUCUCAUGCUUGAGCCCUCUAAUCUCCUGUUUGAGACUCAUCACUUCAGCCGCCAAUGAUUCAACUUGGCGGGUUCGAGCAAAUAGGCGUUGGGCCAUAUUAGACACAGAACCUGCACACUGAACACUGAGAGCCAGCGAAUCCUUAACAGCUAACUCAUCAGACCGUUUGGAAAGUAGUCUGUUAUCUUUGGGAGUGAGAAGGUUCCUGGCCACCACCGCAGCGGUCAUAUCAUUCUUCAUCACGGAAUCCCCAACGGUAAGAGGACCAGUAGGGGAGACGAAGGAUGGGCGCCAUAUGUUGUCUGGAGAAGGCGGGGCUGCCUCUUCAACAAGGUUCAAGUCAAAACGACGGUCGGAGGGGCCAGACAUUUUCAAAGGUGUUGAAGAGAGAAGAGGUCGGACAAAUCAAGAUCUUAGAAGUGCAAGAAUGAAGCUUCUACUGGUGGAGAUUCAAGUGUGCUUUGGAACUUAAUGCCAGCCCCUAUAAAAAUCUGCACUCGACGGAGCUUCAGAAAAUCGAAGAGGCGCCUGCUCAGAAAUCGAAGAGGCGUUUGCUUUCUCAAAAGCUGGGCUGCUUAGAGAUCACGAGGGUUGAUCUCAGAAAUCGAAGAGGCGUUUGCUUUCUCAAAAGUUGGGCUGCUCAAAGACCACGAAGGCCGAUCUCAGAAAAUCGAAGAGGCGCUCGCUUUCUCAAAAGCUGGGCUCCCCAGAGACCACGAGGGCCGAUCUCAGAAAUCGAAGAGGCACCUACUUUUCCAGCCUUGUCAGCACCUGUCACACGCACACUCAGCUUUGCGGAAAUUAUGGGCAUUCUGUCGAAGACUUCUGGGGAAGUAGAAAACACAUGAAUCUUACUGUUCAAUCACCCACUUCCCACACGCAACAAUAGCUCAUGGGUACCACAGAUAACUUUGCCAAAGUUCUCUGCCAAAGUUGAGCACGUGAAGCUUGCAGCUCCCACUACAUCGCUCUGACCAAGAAGGGUAAAAGAAUAGCAAAGAAACAGCACUAACAAAGUUUAGACCCAUAAAUUUUGAAGGUCUAGCUACCAUAUUAUUACCCACAAGGGUAAAGGAACAGUACCACUGCUGGAUAAUUGGAAAGUCCCUGUGUGUCAACCUCUGUGCUUCGUGGCAAGGUAGACUAGCAAACAUGCCCAACCUUUACUCACAUUCGAGAAAACACUCCCAAUAAGAUUGCUUGCUCCAAAAUCGAAGAGGCACCGUCCUCCGAAUCUCGAGAGCCAGACUCCCAACAUGACUACUUUCUUAAAAAUCGAAGAGAGGGUAAAGGAACAGUACCAUUGCUGGAUAAUUGGAAAGUCCCUGUGUGUCAACCUCUGUGCUUCGUGGCAAGGUAGACUAGCAAACAUGCCCAACCUUUACUCACAUUCGAGAAAACACUCCCAACAAGAUUGCUUGCUCCAAAAUCGAAGAGGCACCCGCCCUCCGAAUCUCGAGAGCCAGACUCCCAACAUGAUUACUUUCUCAAAAAUCGAAGAGACACUGCUCCCCGAAUCUUCGAGAGCCAGACCCCCAGCAUGAUUGCUUUCUCAAAAAUCGAUGAGGCAUCGUUCUCCGAAUCAAUCGAAGAGGCGCUCGCUUUCUCAAAAGCUGGGCUGCUCAGAGACCACGAGGGCCGAUCUCAGAAAUCGAAGAGGCACCUACUUUUCUAGCCUUGUCAGCACCUGUCACACGCACACUCAGCUUUGCAGAAAUUAUGGGCAUUCUGUCGAAGACUUCUGGUGAAGUAGAAAGCACAUGAAUCUUACUGUUCAAUCACCCACUUCCCACACGCAACAAUAGCUCAUGGGUACCACAGAUAACUUUGCCAAAGUUCUCUGCCAAAGUUGAGCACGUGAAGCUUGCAGCUCCCACUACAUCGCUCUGACCAAGAAAGGUAAAAGAAUAGCAAAGAAACAGCACUAACAAAGUUUAGACACAUAAAUUUUUGAAGGUCUAGCUACCAUAUUAUUACCCACAAGGGUAAAGGAACAGUACCACUGCUGGAUAAUUGGAAAGUCCCUGUGUGUCAACCUCUGUGCUUCGUGGCAAGGUAGACUAGCAAACAUGCCCAACCUUUACUCACAUUCGAGAAAACACUCCCAACAAGAUUGCUUGCUCCAAAAUCGAAGAGGCACCGUCCUCCGAAUCUCGAGAGCCAGACUCCCAACAUGACUACUUUCUCAAAAUCGAAGAGAGGGUAAAGGAACAGUACCAUUGCUGGAUAAUUGGAAAGUCCCUGUGUGUCAACCUUUGUGCUUCGUGGCAAGGUAGACUAGCAAACAUGCCCAACCUUUACUCACAUUCGAGACAACACUCCCAACAAGAUUGCUUGCUCCAAAAUCGAAGAGGCACCCGCCCUCCGAAUCUCGAGAGCCAGACUCCCAACAUGAUUACUUUCCUCAAAAAUCGAAGAGACACUGCUCUCCGAAUCUCGAGAGCCAGACCCCCAGCAUGAUUGCUUUCUCAAAAAUCGAAGAGGCAUCGUUCUCCGAAUCUCGAGAGCCAGAUACCACAGACCACUUUUUCAAAGUGCUCUGACAGAGUUAAAACAUGUGAAACUGGCAGCUCCCACUACCGUGCUAUGACCAAGCAGGGUAAAGGAAUAGCAUUACUACUUGUUGUUAGGGAGACUCCUAUAUAUGUCGACCUCCAUCCCCAACGGACAGGCAGACCUGCAAAAAUGCUCAACCCUUCAUCAUAUCUGAGAGGGCACUCCCAACGAAGCCUUUCGAAAUAUUCAGCUUUCUUUCCCCCCGAUAAUACCUCUGCAAACAAGCUAUACUACUAGAGCAAGAAUAUCUCAUAUCAUCAGGGUUAAAAGCAAGAGUAUCCCAUAUCAUGCUUUUUCCCUGUCUUUUCCUUUGGCCUUGUUUUUUACCUGCAAGACAAGGAGAAAGAGAGAGCAAUCAGUCAGCACUUGGAAUCAAGCUUCCAGCCAGGAACUGACUGCCUGGAACCCCUUACCUGAUUACUUACCUGGCAUUGCUCUCGAGUACUCAUCUUCAACAUCUUAUGUUUCCAGGGAAGAUUCCGCAUCUGCUUGAGGAACAGAUAGGGCAAGUGCGAAGGAUACAAGGAAGCAUGUGGAGACAAGCGUAACAGCACACGUGCCGAUACAUCCAUUACUCUGUCAAAAGCAAAAGUAUCCCAUAUCAGCAGGGUGGAACGUACUCUAGAUUUGAUGGACUUGUUUUGACCCUCAAAUUCUUCAGUCGGCCUUAUACUCUGGAGGAAACCAGAAAACCCUCCAGCUCAGUUCAAGAAUAAGCCUGUGGAAAGUUACUUCUUCAAAAGCAAAAGUAUCUCUCAUAUCAUCUCUUCUCAUUUUUUCUUCUCUUUAUCCUUCAUGCUGCUGCAAGAUGGGGAGAAGGUGAACAAUCAGUCGGAGCUCUGAUUGCUUACCUUGUCUGUCACCUCUUUCAGCAGACCCCCUAGCUCGGCGACUUGGGGGACUCCUACUACAUGGUUUGUAUCGCGCUUGACCAAGCCUGAAACUACAAGUAAGCUUCAAGUGAAAUUGAUACAUUACCUUGUGCAUCUCCACCAGUUAAAGAUACCACCCCUGGAUGGAGGAAGAGUACUUCCAGAGAAGAUGCCACAUCUACCUAUGAGACAGAUAAGGCAAGUCAAGACGACACCACACUCCGAUACUUAGAAGUUUCGUGAUUACGAGAUCAUUCUCCCACAAUAUUUCCUAAUGUCAUUUGUACUAAAUCAUUCACUUGUACUCACUAAAGGAGAGCUUGAACCUAUGUACUUGUGUAAACCCUUCACAAUUAAUGAGAACUCUUCUAUUCCGUGGACGUAGCCAAUCUGGGUGAACCACGUACAUCUUGUGUUUGCUUUCCUAUCUCUAUCCAUUUAUAUACUUAUCCACACUAAUGACCGGAGCAAUCUAGCGAAGAUCACAAAAAAGCGACCGUUUUCGCUACCUAGGAUCUAUCUUGCAAGAGAACGGAGAAUUAGAUGGAGAUCUCAACCAUAGAAUACGAGCUGGAUGGAUGAAGUGUAAGAAUGCAUCCGGCGUGUUGUGUGACCGUCGUAGGCCACUGAAGCUCAAGGGAAAAUUUUAUAGGACGGCAAUAAGGCCAGCGAUGUUGUAUGGCACAGAAGAAUGUUGGGUGGUGAAGCAUCAACACGUACACAAAAUGGGUGUAGCGGAGAUGAGGAUGCUUCGUGGGAUGUGUGGGCACACGAGAAAGGAUAAGAUUGGGAAUGAGGAUAUCCGAGGUAAAGUAGGAGUAGCCGAAAUUGUAGGAAAGAUGAGAGAAAAUCGGCUCCGGUGAUUUGGACAUGUGCAAAGAAGGCUGAAUGACGCUCCGGUUCGAAGAUGUGACUACGGGACAGAGGUUCAGGGUUGAAGGGGUAGAGGAAGACCUAGGAAAACUUUGGAAGAGACUAUAAGAAAAGACUUAGAGUACUUGGAUCUAACGGAGGACAUGACACAAAACCGAGCGCAAUGGCGUUCUAGGAUUCAUAUAGCCGACCCCACUUAGUGGGAAAAGGCUUUGUUGUUGUUGUUGUUGUAUUCAAUGAAGAUGCUUAAAGGAGACAGUAAUAUUAGCAAUGAAGGAAUUUAAUUGAUAACUAAAACUGCAAAACAAAAUGACUACAAUAGGUUCAAAACAGAAACUCGUCCGAUAGAUAUCUCAUCUUUAGGCAAUGCCUUGUUCCCUUUUUUUUUUUUUUUUUUUUUUUUUUUUUUUGUUGCAUGUCUUGUGAACUUCAUGUAAAUCAACAAAAUUGAUACCUUAACCAACAAUGGAGAGGUAAAAAGUUAAAAACAGAAGGAAUGUCUUCAGUUUUGUAAUGGAUUUUGCAAGUCAAAUUCUGUUCGAGAAUUUGCAACCCAGAAAGUCCCAGCAAUUAUUAACAAUCACAGAUAAGCACCGAAUGAAGGCCAAUCUAAUAAGCCAAAAUAUGUAGGGCACUAAAGAAAUUAUUGCCCAGUAACAAUGAUAGAUAAGCACAUGUGAAACUAAAGAAAAUUUUCAUUACUAUCAACUCCAAAAAAAAUUACCUAUGCAAUCCAAAAAAUGUUGAUACAGAGUUGGAGUAUCGAUGCCUGAAAUUGGUAUUUGAACCACCAACUACCUCCGUGAAUAUGCUUGUCACUUAAUGGUUUGGGUUGAAGUUGUGAAAGGAAAUGUAAUUUCUUAAAAGGAAGGAGAGAAUGCAGAGAAGAAUACAGAAUGGUUCACGUGGCCACCGCAAAACAGGUUAAUAAUCAAGCUUCACUAUGAAUGGAAAGAUUAAUAGAUGAUAAUUAAGAAGGCCUGAUACCCAAGCCGAAAUCAGAGAUAUCCUUUGUAAACAAAGAGAUUGAACAUUUCCUCUCAAAAAAUAACUUUUUUUUUUGUUUUGGGGGGGAGGUUGGGAAGGCUCAGAAAAAGACAUCCAAUAUAAUACUUAUUGCAUGCAAGGUAUGAAACAGCCUCCCCCCGAGUAAAAUCACAGAAAUAAAAGAAAUCGAAUCAAGAAAAAAGAUAAUUACACAAGAAUUACACCUUCACUAAGAAAAUAAAUUAUAAAAACGAAGACUCUGAGAAUAAUUGCCUGUGAUUUGCUGCCAAAAACAAAAAUAAUGUCGUAUACAUUAAGCCUGCCGAUUACUAAAAACAAAACAUUUUUCCAUGAGAAGAAGUAAGAACAUACCGAAACUUGUUUGCUAAUAGAUGAGAAAAAUUUAUAACUGAAACAUAUAGGAAAUUUAUUAGGAAAAGAUAAACAAAACACCUAAAUUAAGCAAUUAAAUGGAGUAUUACUUGAUAGAGCUGGAAAAUUACCCAGUUCCUCAGAGAGAGGAUCAAGAGUGAAUGAUGAGAGUGCAGAGAAACGAAUGAUUGAGAAAUUCAAGCUCUGAGCUCACAGUUGGGGCUUCCACUUUCCAACUGGGGAAGAAAUAACAGAGAAAACACAAGGCCAAUCCACCAAAAAUAUUAAUCAAAUGGGUUUCUUCUAAUUCAAAAUUUUGACCACCCAAAUUCCGAUGAAGCAAUAAUUGUUCAAAAUUCCAACAGAUUGAAGGAAAAAGUAAUAAAUUUUUUUAAAACAGUAAUAAUGAAGGAAAAAGAAAUUAAAGCUGCGAGCCAUUCUCUAAAUCUCAGGCACCAAUCCAAAUCACCAGUAAUUUGCACAUAAUGAUAAGAAUCUAGCAAUACUUCCAUUGUUUAAAACCCAAAUUCCAGAAAUCAUGAAAAAUGGAAACUUUAUAUGGAAAUUGAAGCUUUACCUGCAGAUCAGCAGCAGCAAACGAAAUUCAAGAAGUCACGAUUAUCGACGCGUGGGUAGCAUUCCACUGUGCCAAGGACGAAAAUGAACGGGGAAUGUAGAGCUGGCUGACGAAGACAGGAUUCGCGAAGCGCUCUGAUUUUUUUUUUCACGAGAAUGCGGAAUGAAGAGAAGCGAGUAGAGGAGGAAUCAUUUUAAGCGAUGAUCGACGCGUGGAAAUUGAGGGCAAAUCUGCCAUUUUGCUGUGAACGAAAGUGAAAAAAGGCACAAUCAAAGAGUAAUUUGAGGGCAUUCUAGCCACUUUAAUAAACAGUAGCUUUGUGUUUGAGAUUUAAUAUAGGUAUAUAUAGAGCCCUACAGAGCAACUCCACCCAUGGAGCCCUCCUCUCUGACAAUCUACUAUUGAAUUCACCUUUUUGAACAGUAACUGCCUUUAAUAAAUAGUAACUACCAUUAAUGAACAAUAAUUGUCAUUUGCAUCUCCACCCUUGGAGCCCUCCCCCCUGGCAAUAGGCAAUAAAAUAUUAAUUUUUUUUGUUUGUUUAAAUAAUACAAAAUAAAAUUAUUUGUAAUUUUGGAUAAGAUUUUUUAAAUCGUUCUCGUUGCGCCACGUGUCAUUUUAUAAAAAAAACAAUUAUUUAGCGAUGGAUUUCGAUAAGAUUUUUAUCCAAUGUCAUCGUGUCACAUGUCGUUAUCUUUUGAUAAUCUUUGACGAUAUCUUUCGAUCAGAUUUUAACUCGUUCAAAAUUGCGUCACGUGUCAUUAUUCGAAAAGAUAAUUAUUGGAGAUCGAUUUCGAUAAGAUUUUUAUCCAAUACGAUCUUGUCACGUUUCAUUAUCUUUCAUAAUAUUUGAGGAUAGAUUUCGAUCAGAUUUUUAACGAAUGACGGCAUGCCACGUGGCCUUAUCUACAAUCCAAUCCUUUCUGAAUCAUCCAUAUAAUCCACCAUCCAUCCUCACAAAUCUCACACCAAAUUUCUCAACAUUUCUAUCUCAUUAUUCAUAGUUUCUGCUUCUUCUUCACCAUCCAUCAUUACAAUGUCUUCUUCUUCAUCAAGGAUGAUGUGGGAAAUCGAUCAGCAAGAGGAAGAAUUGUUUAACCAAUCUGAAGGAAUGUUCAACCUUCAGAUAGCCGAAAAUGAGAUGGAUGAGGAUGAGGAGCGUAGAAGGAGAGACGACGAAACAAGAAUGGCCAGAGCCUCACAUUCCCGUUGAGUCAUCCAGACUGUUGCUCAGAUAUGCAUGCCCAACCGUUCAAGAAACCUUGGUAGAAGCAGGCAACGAUGGGGUGAAGAGCUAUUGGACGAUUACUUUGUCCAUAACAGUGCAUUUCCUGAUACGUACUUCAGACGUCGUUUUAGAAUGGAACGACAUUUGUUCAACAGAAUCAUGACUGAUGUUUACAACCAUGAUUCUUACUUUGUGCAAAAGAAUGAUGCUUGUGGUGUUAUGGGUUUCCUGCCUGAGCAAAAAAUCACUGUUGCGUUGCGGAUGCUUGCGUAUGGAGCAUCUGUAGACCAAGUGGAUGAGAUAACGAGGAUGGGGAAAUCAACCAUUCUUGAGGCCCUUAUGAGGUUUUGCGGAGCAGUCGAAUCUUUGUACACCGCAUAGUACCUCCGAAAACCUACUUGUAGGGACUUGCAAAGGCUUCUGAAGAAGGGCGAGAUGCGAGGUUUUCCUGGGAUGAUAGGAAGCAUCAAUUGUAUGCACUGGACGUGGAAAAAUUGUCCAAGUGCAUGGCAAGGCGCAUAUGGGGACAUAAAAGGAUCAAAAACUAUCAUUUUGGAGGCAGUGGCAUCUUUUGAUACAUGGAUAUGGCACGCCUUUUUCGGGGUUCCGGGGGCUCAAAAUGAUCUCAACGUCCUUGCCCAAUCCCCAGCGUUCAACGACAUCCUGCAAGGAAAGGCACCAAAAGUCACGUACAUCGUCAACGGACGUAGGUACGACGGGCCAUACUAUCUAGCUGACGGCAUUUACCCACGGUGGGAAACAUUUGUCAAAACAGUGCCACGUCCGCGAAGUGCAAAGGAAAAACACUUUGCAAGCUGUCAAAAGGGGUGCAGGAAGGAUGUGGAGCGUUGUUUUGGUAUCCUUCAAGCUCGUUGGGCGAUCGUCAGGGGUGCUGCCAGAAUGUUCGAUGUAGAGUCACUUUGAUCCAUCAUGAUGACAUGCGUCAUUCUUCACAAUAUGAUUGUGGAAGAUGAGUUCGAUUAUGAUGCGGUUGAUGAAUAUGAGCCAGAGCCAGACACGAUGAACAAUUCAAGAACACGGAUAUAUUGUGCGCAUGAUGCCACCAAAGAACCCGUGCAACAUGAGCCAUUAGAAAGGGAUGAACGUUACAAUGAAAUGGUCAUUCAACGAUAUACUGCACUUCAAAUGUCAUCUAUGCACAAUGAUCGGCAAAUUGACUUGAUAGAGCACCAGUGGACAUUAAAACAAGCUGAAGAUACUUAAGUUUAUUUAGUAUGUUUGUUUGUAUUUGGUAUGUUUAUGUAAUUUUAUUUGGUGUGUUUUUUGUAGUGAGUUUUUUAUUAUUUCGUAUGUUUAUGUAAUUUUAUUUGGUGUGUUUAUGUAAUUCCAAUUGGUAAGAAAAUAUGAAAUUGUGGUGUAAGGUAGAUGGAGAAGAAGUGGUAUUUAUAGAAAAGUAAAAACAAUUUUUUACAAAUUUUUUUUUUUAGAUUUUUUACAAUUUUUUCGGAUUUUUUCCAUUUUUUUUAAUUUUUUUUUCAAAUAAUUAAUCUCUGCCGUUGGAUUUAAAAAAAAUUGAAUUCCAACACUCCAGAUUGUGCCACGUGUCACAACGGUAAUUUUUCUUAAUUUUAAAACUAUUUUUUCUUUAUUUAUAAAGCAUAUUAAUAUCGACCGUUGAUCUGAAAUCGAACGGUUGAUAUUAAAUAAGAUUUGUUUUAUUUUUUUUACCGUUGAGAUCCAACAGUCCAAAUGAAAGAGCCGUUGAGAUCGAACGGACCGUGGGAAACCACGUGGCUUCCCAAUGGUAACUGAGACAACUGCAAAAGUGGGCUGCUUUUCUGAAAAGCUGUCAGGCGACGCGCCCCCACGCGCGAGUGGGGUGCACGCGCCUGACAAAAAAAAAAAAAAUGGGUGAAGAGCUCGGGCUCACGGCUGUCACAAAUUGACAGGCCUUCUGCUCGGGCCUUCUCCACGAGCUCGGGCUCUUCAAGACUGGAGCUGAUUGACUAGCCCUCGGGCCUUUCUUUUCCCCUGUCCCCCGGCCUACAUGCAUGGGUGGAGUUGCUCUAAGAGAAGGGAUUUCCAUUCUUGUUUUUUUAAAUGUGGACACCUUUUUUACUGUUAGAUUUGACUUUAACGAAAUUUUGUGGUUGAGAUUAAAUCACAAACCACAGAAUCUCAACCAUAGAAUUUCAUUAAAGCUAUAUUUAACGAUCAAUAGGGUGUUCCCAUUUUUUUUGAAAAAUAGGAAUCCCUUCCCUUAAGGCUUUCAGUAUAUUAUAUACACUAAAACUCAAUUGAUGAACACUGUUCAUUAACAGUGAUUUUACGUUUUAGCCCCUGUUUUGCUGUUUGUUUGCCCUUUUAUUUUUCGAUCUUAACAGUAAAAUGACAGUUUUGCCCGUUCUUUCCACGCGUCAGUCAUCGUUGAGCUCUUCACUUCAAGAGUCUUCUUUUAGGUUUAGCCUUUUCUUUGCACUGGUGAUUCUCUGAUUUCGUCUCUUCGUCUCGCCCUCUGUUUUUUCUCAAAUCCUCCAUUCCUCUCAAAUAUUCCGUUCUUUAUUUCACAAAAUAUUCAGGAGAAAGUUCCUGAUUUUCGUGUUUUAAGGGAUAUAAUGAUUUGGUGUUGUUUAUCUCAAACAGCGGGCUUGCAGGUAAAAUGUUAAGCUUUAUGUCCAAAGCAAUCUUUCUCUGCAUGCUGACUGUGUGUUGAUUUGAAGGGGUGGUUUAGUGAAUGGGUGCUUCUUAUUUUUGGCCUUUCUCUAUUAUCAUAUAUGUUUCUCUAUUCUCAGGUAUCAGAUCAUUCGAAACAAAAACAUUUUAACGUUAUUUUUGCAGGUUAAUGUUGGGUUUGAGUCCAACACGAUAUACACUUGAACAGAGUAGAGUAGAAGACAGUAUGCAAACAUGAUUUAGGACACAGUUUACCUAAUUGUAAACACUCUGUGAAAUAUUAUUAGUUAUGAACAUCCAAUUUGAAUCCCCCACAUGCUAAAUUAGGUACCAUUAAAUUAGUUUUAUGUCUUUUUUUUAUUUGAAAGCUGCUUCUUAUUUCUGUCUCUAUUAAGAUUCUGGGGUGUGCUUUGGAUUUGCUACAUAUGGUCAUAUUUUUUGUCAUUGGCUUUUUGUUCUGCUUAGUUUUUUUUAAUCGAGUGUUUUAUCUGGUAUUUCAUUUUGUUUUGUUUAUUUGUUUCCUUUUUAUGUUUAAAUGUUUUUUGUUCUUUCUAAAUUUGGGCUUCUGGGAAAUUCUUGCUCACUGUUUGGAUUCCGAGAAAAUUUAGGGGAUGUCCAGUAAUAUUCACAUCCUGAAAACUCAGUGAAAAUAGAUACCAAUUUAUGUGCAGCUGAAAAUUUUGUUAUCUGAUUCUGUUCUAAAUAACAUGAUUUAUUUGUUUUUUAAACUUUUAAUUAUUUCGUAUUUAUUUUGUGAUUGCAGAUGUUUAAAUGAUGGAGAGUUUCGCAAAGCUGUUACUCGGAGGAGACAUGUCUAGAUGAGGGAAAGGUGUCUCCACUGCCCUUGCUAUCUCAAAUGCCAUCACCAAUCUCUCUGGUUAGUCACAUUCCUCUUGGAAUAUGCAUAUUCUUAUGUGAUGUUGGCUGAUACCUUGGUGAGUCAACUUAAUAAAAAAUGUGAGAUGGACAAAUUGAAAAGUCUAUUUUCUUCUCAUAUGCAUCCUUUAACAUAUGUCAGUUUUAAUUAUUGAUGAGCAAUUGAAAAUUUAGUUUUUCUUCUCAUGGUACACUUACAUUGGUAGUUCAACAUAUGUUUGUUUAACAUAUCUUAUUAAAUGCAUUUGAGAAUCGAUUGAAGAAACUCAGUUCUUUUAGCAAUUAAGAACAAGGUAAACAUAGUUGUAAAUAUGUGUAAAUAAGAUAGGAAUUUUGAUGAAUUUAUGUUUUUUCCUCCGUUUUUCAGUGUUUUCAGGCAUUGAAGCUAAAUAUGGAGAGGGUUUUGAGACUUUUAGACCUAUUGGACCUCUCAAGGUUUGCGUGGUAAGGAGUUUAUGGAGUUAUACGCAUAGUAGGCAUUAUAUUUUAUGUUCUGUUGAAUUUAAUUUAAUGGUUAUAUUUUAUGCUCCUAUGAGUUAUUACUGUUAUGUUUACUCUGAGUAGGAUUUGUUGAACGACAAACUGCAAGGAGGUUUUCUUAAACGAAUAUGAUAUGCUAUGAAACCGAAUGAAGCUUACUGUCUUCUAUUCUCUUUUGUUAAUUUCGUGGUAAGUUUCUAUAACACUGAUUAGUUAUGUCUUCGAGGUUCUAAUGGCUAGAUAUGCUAAUGUAAUGAACUAUGGAAUAUUGUAAUAGUUUAUGGUCAAUGUGAUCCCAUAUCUGUUUGAUUGAAAUAUUGUUCUAUAACAGGUUUAAACUUUGUUUUUCCAAUACCUUAUCACAAAAUAAUUCCACCUUGGACAAAUUACAAGGUAUGCUGCAACAUGUGCUUUGAUUAAUUGCAUUCAAAUUGAUACUGCUUAAGAAUGCAUUUGAACAUGUUGAAUUUCACGCCCGCAGCAUCGCGCGGGCAAUAUUGCUAGUAUAAUAUAUAAUUGGGUGAUAAAGAGAGUAGGUGAAAGAACACAAUUUGCUCUUAAAAAUGUUGUUUUUAAGAACGAGUGAUUUUUCUUUUCUGACUCUUUCUGUCUAACCCAAAAGCAUACUGGUAAUAGGGUCCAGUAAGAAAAUUAUUUUUAGAAAUUAAACAUGAAAAAAUACAAAAUUUACAAUUUCGAAUUAUACAAAAAAGACAAAAAAAGCGCAAAAUAAAAAGAGCAGGACAGAAAAACAGAAACAAAAGAAAGGAGACACUAAGAAUACAAAUAGCGUGAUUUGAGCCCUCAAUUUUGGCAGGCAACAUGAUUGUUAACGCAUGAUUGUGAACCCAUCCAUUGAAGAAAGAAGCAUCAUAAUACACAAGAGUCAAGACUGGGCUUGGUUUAUAUAAUGAAUAAUGUUAGGGAGAUCAAAUUUUUUAAACUAAAUUUGUAAAUUAAAUGAUGUAGUUAUAGAUGAUUGGGUUAUUACUAAGUGUCGAUUAAUAUGUUUAUUUCUUAUUGGUGACAUAUCAUUUGGUUUAAAAAUUUGGUCUCCCUAGCAUUAUCCUUAUAUAAUUAAUCAAUAAUAUUCCAUAACAAGAGCUAGGUCCAUAUAUUACGAGGUUAUAAAAUAUGCUAGGUGCUAGUCGAGAGGCGGGCGGGGCCUAAGCAGAUUUAAGUAAAUUUAUUAUAUAUUGUAUAAAUAAAUGCCUUUUUAUACUUAAAAUGACACACAAUUGUAUCGAAAUAUAUAAAUUGCAAAAUAAAAUGACAUAUAGAUUAUAAAUUACUAGAACAUAAUGAACAAUCAUAUAAUGAGGGUUUAUCCAAAUAUUUAUUGGAAAACAAAAAACAAAAUGAGUGUUAUCGAUUUUCUGUCUAAAUGAAAGUUGCGGGCUAGGCAGGUUUAAGUGGGUUAGGCGGACGCCUAAGCAAGUCUAGAGCACUUUCUUAAUUUUUAAAUGAUUAGGGACUAAUUAGGGUGGUGGACAACUGCCUAGCGCUAGACAUGGGUUUUUAGAACAGUAAUUACUUGUUCUCAUAGAUCUCUGGGUUCAAGAAAAUUAUGAUCACCUAUUGUUCGAUCUUAAUACCGUCGGUAAGCGGUUAUUUAACCAUUUUUUAUAUUGAGUAAUUUUCCUGGAUCCUGAAAUCUAGAAGAACAAAACUCUUAUGUCACAUGGAUAAACAUAAUCAGGCAUAAGAAAAAGGUUGAAGAAUUCAUAAGUCAUAUAGGGGGCGUUUGUUUGCCCUCACUAAGUAUCACUGGACUAACUAUUAGUCCAGUCCCGUGUUUCUUCUGUAGAGGGAUUAUGUUUCAUGAGACUAAAGGGGAGUCACACGGACAAACUCCUUCACUAGGAGUUCUUAGCGAGAUCCCCCAAUGCCCAUGGGAUUGCUAAGACCUCGUAUACUCCAUCUUUGUAUGCUAUGUCUCAUCCUCUCUAUGCUCUCUAUUAUCUUGAGCACCAUCACACCACAACUCACCAACUCCAGUGAGAUCACACCACCAACCCACCACCACUUUCUCCCUCUCUCUUCACAUGAACCCAAAAUUUCGAACUGAGGAAGAUCCCGUUCUUACAGUAAUUCGUCCAGCUCUAGCUGUCUGCUUCGCUUCGCUGCACUUCAAACUCGACCUUGGACUCGUCUGAUUCGCUUUGAACUCGACCUCGUAUUUGUCGACUUUACGCAAUUGACGAGAUCUUGUGAACUUGAUGAUGGGUGAGCCACCCAGUGCACUUGAAGGAAUAUGGGAGGCCAAGAACGCCAAAGCCUACGACGGCAAUGAAGACGUUGGCUGGAUUGGGAUGACAGCGACGUGUUCCACAUCAAGGGCAGCGGCUUGGGAUUCUUGUUUUCAUUUGGUUUUGAUUUAAAUUAGGUUUUGAUUUCGAAUUGGGUUUGAUGUGAUCUGGUAUUGGCAUUUGAUUUGCUCUGUAAUUGUUUGAAUGUGUGGAAUAAAUUUUGGGGAAAGAGGAAGAAAAUUUAGAAAAAGAAAAAUAGACUAAAUAAUAAAAUAUUAAUAUAUAUUAGAUUAAAUAAUAUCAUAUUAGAAUUUAUUAUUAUCCUACUUCUUGGUCCGACACUGCACCAAACGCUUUACUAAGCUAAUCCAACUUAGUCUAGUCUAAGUCAAUCCAGCUUAGUUCCUGAAGUUAGUCUAGUCCAAGACAAUCCGGUGCAACAAACACAUUCAUAGAGUAAUUAUAGGGAUACUAAAUUUGUAAAUAAAAUUUUGUAAACUAAAUGACAUGGAAGUUGAUCGUUGAAUUAUUACUUAAACGUUAAUAAAUGUACUCAUUAUCACUAAAGACACGUUAUUUAAUUUGUAAAUUUUAUUUAUAAAUCUAAAGCAUUACCCAAACUCAUAAUACAAAUAGCUACUUUGAGAGAAGAAAAGAUGGAGAGUGAUAUGAUUGCAUUCUUUUUUAAAGCAACUUCUGAAGAUUCCAUAAUAAACUAUUAUUAUAUAUGAAGAUGUGCCGUGGUAAAAGAGAGGAAAAAAUGAAUGGAAAGUUUAUCCAAAAGAUUCUUGACCGUGAUUACAACUAUUUAACUUUUGUAAAUUUUCAUGGACCGAGAUCCAAGAAAAGAUGGAGAGUGAGAUUGGCAUUCUUUUUUGUAAAGGGAUUUUUUUUCCGAUCCCUUCCAUCUAAUUCACCUGAGUCAACCAUUUGAGUUCUUGAAAUUUAUUUAAACAACUAAAAUUAUUAUAACUUUUAAUGAAGCCCCUAUUUGUAGUCGUUAAAUCAAAUUUUAAAGAUUCGAAUUAGUGAAUUAGGUGGAUUAGGUGGAAGGGAUCCGAAGAAUAUCAAUUUCCUUCUUUUUCAACACAACUUUUGUUGAGUCCAUAAUAAACUAUUAUAUGAAGAAAGAAUACUAAAAAGACUCUCUCAAAAUCGAAACUUUUUGCGAACUUUUUAGCAUCUCAUGUUUUUGAGAUUAAUAACUAACAUUAUCUGAGAUUUAUUAAGUUUUCACAAAAUUCCCUUACGUAUGAGAUAUUACGCUAACAACACUUUAGUGUAAUGUCUCAAACGUAAUGGGACCUUGUAAAAUUUGAUUAACUUCGACAGUAUUAGUAUAUUUUUAUGUAAAUAUUAUAAAAUAUUAUGUUAAAUACAUUAAAUAACAGAUAGUCUUUAAGAGAGAUUUCUUACAUCUUUCUAAUGGAUACGGACGGUGGAAAAAGAUCAUUCCAUAAUUAAAUAUUGUGCUGUUGAUUACGCGUCUCUCCAUUUGACUAAGUUCCUUUUCACAUUCUUCCCUAAAUAAAAUGGUUCACUUUUCACAUUAUUACAAUAUUUAUAUUUAUAUUUUUACAAAAGGGAUUCGUCUAAAUUAAAUUUUUCGAAAAAUUUCGUAUAGUGAGUGAAAGUGAAACACUCCCUUUGUUAUGAUUAUGACAAUAUUUAUAUUUUUACAAAAGGGAUUUAUCUAAAUUAAAAUUUUCAAAAUUCCGAACAAGAUUUGAACUUUCGUGUAUAUGAAUAUAUGGAGUAAAUUGAUCAUGGCUGAAAAUAUGGCAGUGGUUGUGUUUGUGUUGCCUAACGGAUGAUAUUGAAAUACCUAAACACAAGUCAAGCUCCUUCAGUUAACAAAAACAGAAGUUUAUAAUAUGAUAAUGUUGGCGCACGGACUUGAGAAACAACAUAGGCCGGGAAUGUGCACAAAAAGUAAGAGAGAGGUAAAGAGGAAAGAAACGAACAUGAAAGAACAAAGACUAUCGAAUACAUUAUAAAACAAUGACUUCUUGGUAGUCAUUACAUCUCAACCAUCAAUAAUGCAUUAAUUUUGGUUGAAAUGUAGAAGUAUUUGAGAAGUAGCAUGACAACAACCACAUAAUAAACAAAAGUGGACGCAAAUGUGAAAGGAUAAUUAAAAACAAUUAUUCAAGAUGGGCGGUAGUUGAUUCAGCCAUUUAGAAGAUUCAAACCUAGAAUCAUUAUUGUAUUAACUAUUAACAGGUGCUAUAAUAUAGUUCUUAGGGAUUUCAAGGAGGCAUAUGGGGGACUACAUAAUGUGCAAUAGGAUUAAACUUUUUUUGUUACUAGGCAAAUGAACCAUAUUGAAAAAAGUUGAGGUUUAACCAUAAAAUUAAUUGACGAUAUAAAAAGUAGCUCAACCUCUUAUAAGCGUUUGCAAGAUUUCUCUUUUGACCUAUACAAGACUCUUUUACUUUCACAUCCUCGAACAUAUAAUACACCCAAAUGGAUGCCAAUAUAUAAACAUUGUUUUGAAAGGACAAGGGAGCUAACAGUGUCUUUUUAUAUGACUUGGACUUGGAGUACGGGCUGCAAAUUGCAUGCAAUUGCAACGAGAGCCAAAGAUAAUUGCCUUGUCCUUCAAAUUUGUUGGUAAAUUGGGGAUUGCACGAAGAUUUUCGCACUAAUCUGAAUACAGUGUUUCAAGCUUUUAAAGACCACUGAAGCUUUGAAAACUCUGUUGAUUUUACUUCCCAAGUAAGUGACAUAAAACUAAAUUGGGCAGUUGCAUGACAACAACCACUUAAUAAUCAAAAGUGAUUCGAAAAAGACCGAAAGUGAGAUGACCGCAUUCUUUUUCAGACAACUUUGGUAGAUUCCAGAAUAAACUAUUAUACAUGAAGAUGGGCGGUGGUAAUUGUCCUUUUGAUUAAAGUUUUUUGAGUCGAAAAUCAUUUUUCUAUAAUUAAUUCUUAACUAGAAAUUUGUACCAGUACACCGUUGUGGGACUGAAAAUCUUAUGAAAUAUUUUAUAACUUUAAUUUUCAUAAAUAAUGUGCGAGUGAAAAACAAAAAAUUACGAAUGGUAAUGCAAUUUAUAUGUAACCUUAUCAUGAACGGAACAAAUUUAGAUACUAAAAGAAAAAUUAAAAAUCUAUUUUUUCAAAGUGCGAAGAGAUAAUUGUUUAUUAAAAAAGUUGGACCAAUGAUAACUGCAUAAAUUACAAAUGCAAUAUUAAGAGUAUACCAGUCAAACUAAGCUUGCUACAGGCUAAACAAUGUUGAAAAACAUCAUUAGCUUUUUCAAGUGUUAUAUGCAAUGAAUGUAAUUAGCACGAAACUAGCACGAAACUGCAGAGGCUUUCGAUCCAUUAUAAUAUAAAAUAAAUAAUAAUAUUUACGUAUAAAAUAUGAUAUGAUUAUAUGAAAGUAACGACCCAAAUCUUAUUGGAGCUAAUUAACUAAUGUAUGCUCAUCAGGCAGCUGGAUUCCUUGGCAAGUGUUUAACCCCUACUUUCUUCACGCUCACAGAAUCACCAUUUGCAAAGUCAAUCGGCCUCACACCAAUAAAAACUUAAUCCCCGGCUAGUAAACUGAUCAGCUUAUCGUCCGAUAUAUGUCACUGCAAAGAUAAUCACCUUGUCUUUCAAAUUUGUUGGUAAAUUGGGGAUUGCGAGAAGAUUUUCGCACUAAUCCAAAUAUAUUGUUUCGAGCUUUGAAUGACCACUGAAGCUUUGAAAAGUCUGAUGGUUUUGUUAGGUCAUGUGUAUGACUAACGUUAAUGAUUUUCAACUUCCCAAGCAACUGUUACACAACUAAAUUUAAAAUCCAAGAGGAGGAUAUGAUCAGAGAAGAAAGAAAUGCAAUCCACUAAUAAUCAACAUCGAUAUUGUCUUCAACUUAAUCAUGAAUAAGUUUUAAGGCACAAAAGACCUCAUGCUUUUGUAGUUGAGCCAUUUAAUGUAAGGAGAAUCACAAUGUUAGUUAACCACAUCACAGUACAAAAGCACUAAAAGCGUCCAAGUGAAAGUGAAAGUGCUUUCUUCUCAUGUAGUUUCAUUUAACUUAAUUUUCCACAAUGGUAAUUAUGUUUCAAUGGUUCUGUUUUCACAUGCCAGUCGGUCAGUCACAUACUCAACUCCUUAAUGUUCGGGCUCAAUGGCUCGAAGAGAGCUUCCACUUCACUCUGAUUCACCUCCUCUAACUUUGACGGAUUCCACUUCGGAUUCUGCAUUGACAAGAAACAGAAGCCAGAGAUAAAGAUUCGUUGAUAUACGGAAAGUAAGAUGAUUAUACAACCGUAGGUCUAGUAGAGGCUGUAAUGGUUUAUGUUGCAGCAACUGCGUCAGCAAGUGAUUUUAUAGCAAGGAAUCUUGAGCAUAAUUAACGAACCUGAUCCUUGUCCACCAAAACUGCCGUACACCUUCAGCAAAAUCAUUCCGUAAAGACGAUCUUAUAGCAACGUGAUAUUCAGUUUCAUCACACCAGUUAACUGGUAUUGGUCAAGUAAAGCACAUGUUACUUUCUGAAAAUUUGAAAUACUACAACGCAAAACCUAUCAAAAGGAUGCAACCAUGUGAUGCAAGAAACGAAAAGGUACAAAGUCCAGACUCACUCUGGAUAAUUGAUUGUCAUUUUUCCCAAGCACGGAUGCAACUUUAGCGAAAUAAUUUUGUGUCAAAAAAGUGAAAACAGAGCACCCUUUCCAAGACCUUAAAGAGCUUCGUUAGCCCACUCACCACUGCAAUACAAACAAUUUAUACAAAAUACUUGACAGCGACAUACAAGCUGCUCAAUAGACAAAUGGCAUUAAAAAACUUACCAGUAGCAUCUGAACUCUGAUGCUGCUUUUUAAGUUCAUCAAUUGUCUCAAGAACCAACUUAUCUGCACCAAAUGCUGAAGUUAUUUGAGGUAAAAGAGUCUUGAGUUGCGCUUCAGAAUCUGGGUAGCUGGUGAAUUUCACCACAAUUGUUUCAAUGUCCUGAUGGGGAUCCUGGGAACUGAUUCAACAAUGGAGUUGCUUUUAUCUCAAGAAACGCAUUGGACAAUGUGAUGAUGGCAACUAAAGUUAAACCCACUGAAGCAUUGGAAAUUGCGUCUGAGGAUAGAAAAGGCAUACCUGCAGAUACUCCUCCCAGACUCUUUGCCUCUAUAUGUGAAAACCCAUCUGGGAACAAACCAAUUCCAUUCUCUGGCAUAGCAAGAACAGUCCUCAGAAAUGUAUCCAUACAAAGUUUGACACACAAAAUUAAAAAAGCCAUUGCAAUGUAAUUGACAACAUUGACAAUCUCUGUCUGACCGGGCAAUAAUGCCUCUGUAAUGAUCCGGUAGCGACUGUGACCUGAUAGGCCAAUACCAAAGCCCACUGUUAUGCCAUCCAUGAAGCUUAUAUGGGCUUCUUGUACUCGGAGAUAUUGCAUAUUAGAGAAUACUCAGCAGUGAAUACCUGAAAAACGUGCAGCACAAAUAUCAUAUCGGUAGCCUCUCAAAUCUUAAGAAAACUACAAAUGGUAGCUUAGAAAAGAAAUGAAUCCUCUCCAACCAAUACAAAUCAUAUUACCCAAGUUCAAGCAAAAUCAAGACUAAACAAAUGACCAGAUGUUGUAGGUUGCCAGAGAAUGUCAAACAUGAAAUUACAAAAGAAAAAAAUAAUCGUAUGUAUUGAACAUUAAUAAAUACAUGCUGAAAGCACAAUCUUAGCCGCAAUUUAUGACAUUUAUACAAGAUUAAAUCGCCAAAGAAAUUAAAGAAAUUGCAGAGCUCAUAUAAGUGAUGUUCACUAUGAACUUUUAGGCUUAUCAACAAAUACACCAUAACGAUUCUAAUGCAUGAAUUUUGUUAAAGGGGGCUUGCUUGCUUGUAUUAAGGCUUAAUCAUCAAUGAUUUUGCAAGGGUCAAUCGUAUUGCUAGUUGUAAAUCUAUUCACUAUGAAAAUUACCAAAAUUACAUCUAAUAUGGUAGUGAAGGAAGUCAUCUUACAUUAUCUGGAAUUUAGAAAACUGUGUAAGGUUAUAAUAUAUGGUUACAAGGACACAAUUAGACCUCAAUCAUAUUCGGUGGUUGGUUUUUGGCCGUGAUCUGCUUCACAUCACCGCCUGCAGGUAAACUAAAUCUGGGUUACUACAUAUCAAUGAAUCAACGUGCCAACUUAACGGACACCAUCUAUCUCUAUAUGGCAAAAAAAACAACACAAAAAGGAACAUGAAGUGAAACAAUAAACAACAUGACAUGAAACAGCACGAACAUCAAAGACCAACAAUCUAUCACGUAAGCACCUAAACAAGAAACAACUUUAGUUCAAAGCAAAGCGUAAUGUAGAAACCUUCGGCACAACAGGUGUGUUUUUGUCCUUUCGAGUUUCGGCAACAACCACUUUAAUAUCCUUUCCUGCAUUUACCAUGAUUGGUCACUCUUAAAACCUUAACUCCGCCGUGUAAGUUUAUCUUACAUUGCCGGUCCCAAGCCCGGAUAAAGGAGGAGGGGGAGGGCGUCAGGUAGUCGACAGCCGGCACUCCAUGAUUACGUCGAAUCCUUACGAAAAUGAAUCCAGAACGAAAUCGCGCUAAAGCUAGGGCGUCACCCGUAAGUGGCGCGCUGUGUGGCCCGAGCACAGUGAUAAGUGAGCAAGGGUCGCUAUAUCUCCAUCGGCACCCGGAUGCAGUGUUAAAUGAGCAAGGGGGCUAUAGAAACUUCUUUUCGAACGACUCCACUCAAAGUUGUUUGGGAGCAUAUGCUCCUAUCAACUUUACACGGGACACACAAAAGAAGUACUUUGAUCCUAUUAGACGGGGAAGGGUGAAGAAGCUAGGACAGAAGGGUAGAGUUCAAGAGAGCAAAAUGCGUUUAGGAACGUGGAAUAUAGGAACCUUGACGGGAAAAUCUAUGGAAGUAGUAGCAGUUAUGGUGAGGAGAAGGAUAAAUAUUAUGUGCCUACAAGAAACUAAGUGGGUUGGGCGUAAGGCAAAGGAUCUAGAAAACUCAGGGUUUAAACUAUGGUAUUCGGGCACAAAUAGAACGAGAAACGGUGUUGGCAUCAUCGUGGACAAGACCUUGACACAAGAUGUUGUAGAUGUUAAGAGGGUAGGAGAUAGAAUCAUGUCAAUCAAGAUUGUAAUAGGACAAGAACUUAUCAAUGUGAUUAGUGCGUACGCACCUCAAGUAGGGUUGGAUACGAGUUCGAAGGAGAAAUUUUGGGAAGACCUUGGAGACUUGGUGCAAGGAAUUGCUCAGACGGAGAAGUUAUUUAUAGGAGGAGAUUUAAAUGGACACGUGGGCAGGGAGACAGACAACUAUGGAGGUUUUUAUGGUGGCCAUGGUUUUGGGGAGAGAAAUGAGGAUGGGGAAGCUAUCUUGAAUUUUGCAAUGGCAUAUGAUCUCUUCUUAGCCAACACCUUCUUUAAGAAGAGAGAAGAACAUGUGAUCACCUACAAGAGUGGGUCGUCAAAAACACAAAUAGAUUUUCUCCUAAUGAGGAAAGGGGAUCGUAUAACUUGUAAGGAUUGCAAAGUUAUACCAGGAGAGAGCGUGGCUAAUCAACAUCGCUUGUUGGUGAUGGAUGUAAAUAUCAAAAGAGUGAGAAAAAAGAACAAGACUUGGAAGUGCCCAAGGACUAGAUGGUGGAAUCUAAAAGAAGAAAAACAAGCCAUUUUCAAAGAGAAAGUAAUCACCCAGUGUGUGUGGGAUAGAGAGGGGGAAGCUAACCAAAUGUGGGAUUCCAUGGCUAGUUGUAUCCGAAAAGUAGCAAAAGAGGUAUUAGGAGAGUCCAAGGGCUUUGCCCCACACCAAAAGGAAUCUUGGUGGUGGAAUGAGGAGGUACAAACAAAGGUGAAGGCUAAGAAGGAAUGUUGUAAAGCCUUAUACAAGGAUAGGACCGAUGAAAAUGGUGAAAGGUAUAGAAAAGCGAAGCAAGAGGCGAAGAAAGCUGUGAGAGAAGCUAAGUUAGCGGCUUAUGACGAUAUGUAUAAGCGACUAGAUACCAAAGAAGGAGAGUUGGAUAUCUAUAAACUAGCUAGAGCAAGGGAAAAGAAAGACAAGGGACCUAAACCAAGUGAGGUGCAUCAAGGAUGAGGAUGGAAAGGUUCUUGCUACAGAGAACGCGGUUAAAGACAGAUGGAAAGGUUAUUUUCAUAAUCUUUUCAAUGAAGGACAUGAAAGGAGUGCUUCUUUAGGGGAGUUGAGUAACUCAGAAGAGUGUAGAAACUACUCUUUUUUAUCGUAGAAUUCGGAAGGAAGAAGUGGUUGUAGCUUUGAAGAAGAUGAAGCAUAGAAAAGCAGUAGACCUAGACGAUAUACCAAUUGAAGUGUGGAAAGUUUUGGGAGAGACAGGUAUAACAUGGCUCACUGACCUUUUCAAUAGGAUUUUGAAAACGAAGAAGAUGCCAAAUGAGUGGCGAACGAGCACUUUGGUGCCUAUCUACAAGAAUAAGGGUGAUGUACAAAAUUGCAUGAACUAUAGGGGUAUUAAGCUAAUGAGUCAUACAAUGAAGCUCUGGGAGAGAGUCAUUGAGCAUAGAUUGAGGCAAGAGACACGGGUUUCGGACAACCAAUUCGGGUUCAUGCCAGGGCGCUCAACCAUGGAGGCAAUCUAUCUCUUACGAAGAUUGAUGGAAAGAUAUAGAGAUGGGAAAAAGGAUUUACACAUGGUCUUUAUAGAUUUGGAAAAAGCGUAUGAUAGGGUCCCAAGAGACAUUCUUUGGAGGAUUUUAGAGAAGAAAGGAGUACGAGUAGCAUAUAUCCAAGCUAUACAGGAUAUGUAUGAAGGAGCAAAGACUGCCGUAAGAACUCAUGAAGGACAAACCGAAAGCUUUCCCAUAACUGUAGGAUUACAUCAAGGCUCAUCCUUAAGUCCUUACCUUUUUGCGUUGGUAAUGGAUGAGUUAACAGGACAUAUUCAAGAUGAUAUUCCUUGGUGUAUGCUUUUCGCAGACGAUAUAGUGUUGAUAGAUGAAACUCAGGAAGGGGUAAAUGCAAAGCUUAACCUUUGGAGAGAAGUGUUGGAAUCUAAAGGUCUUCGCCUAAGCCGAUCAAAGACAGAAUAUAUGGAGUGCAAGUUCAGUGCAAAUGGAGGCCAAAACGAGUUAGGGGUGAGGAUCGGAGAUCAAGAAAUACCAAAGAGCGACCGUUUUCGUUACCUAGGAUCUAUCUUGCAAAAGAACGGAGAAUUAGAUGGAGAUCUCAACCAUAGAAUACAAGCUGGAUGGAUGAAGUGGAAGAGAGUGCAUCCGGCGUAUUGUGUGACCGCCGUAUGCCACUGAAGCUCAAGGGAAAAUUUUAUAGGAACGGCAAUAAGGCCGGCGAUGCUGUAUGGCACAGAAUGUUGGGCGGUGAAGCAUCAACACGUACACAAAAUGGGUGUAGCGGAGAUGAGGAUGCUUCGUUGGAUGUGUGGGCACACGAAGAAAGGAUAAGAUUAUGGAAUGAGGAUAUCCGGGGUAAAGUAGGAGUAGCCGAAAUUGAAGGAAAGAUGAGAGAAAAUCGGUUACGGUGGUUUGGACAUGUGCAAAGAAGGCCUACUGACGCUCCGAUUAGAAGAUGCGACUAUGGGACAGAGGUUCAGGGCCGAAGGGGUAGAGGAAGACCUAGGAAAACUUUGGAAGAGACCCUAAGAAAAGACUUAGAGUACUUGGAUCUAACGGAGGACAUGACACAGGACAGAACACAAUGGCGUUCUAAGAUUCAUAUAGCCGAUCCCACUCAGUGACUUGGAUUUUCCAAGUCUCCAACCGAGAAGUUUUCCUCACUCGGGAAAUUAAGGGAACACUACCUCAACCUACAUGCUCCACUCACAAAGCUUCAACAAAAGAAAAAUUCAAAGAACUUAGCGAAGAAGGCUUUUGGUGUAUUUAACACAAUACGUUGAAAUGAAGGAAAGCUUAUUUAUUGAUAUCCCCGAUAAGUUACAAAUAUGUACAUAUACUUGAGUCAAAAUAAACAAACAAGAGGGAGCCUUCACAAAGGUUGCUUAGGAGAAGUCUCAGCAGUCGGUAGAGCCCCAGAAAGAGAAGGCACCGGAGGGGGAUCAUUCGGAGCCUCAGUACUGGACAGAACCCUAGAAGGAGGAGGCAUCAGAGGUUGAUCAUUUGGAGCUUCAUUACGCGGUACAGCCCCAGAAGACGAAGGCAAUAAAUGCCUUUGGAACAAACCCACAAAUCUCUGAUGAUCAAGUAAAACCUGACCAUCAGAUUCCUUCAUCUGGUCAAGCUUCCUCUUCAUGUUUGUAGCAUAGUCAUGUGCGAGCCGGUGCAACUGUUUAUUCUCAUGCUUGAGCCCUCUAAUCUCCUGUUUGAGACUCAUCACUUCAGCCGCCAAUGAUUCAACUUGGCGGGUUCGAGCAAAUAGGCGUUGGGCCAUAUUAGACACAGAACCUGCACACUGAACACUGAAGAGCCAGAGAAUCCUUAACAGCCAACUCAUCAGACCGUUUGGAAAGUAGUCUGUUAUCUUUGGGAGUGAGAAGGUUCCUAGGCCACUACCGCAGCGGUCAUAUCAUUCUUCAUCACGGAAUCCCCAACGGUAAGAGGACCAGUAGGGGAGACGAAGGAUGGGCGCCAUAUGUUGUCUGAAGAAGGCGGGGCUGCCUCUUCAACAAGGUUCAAGUCAAAACGACGGUCGGAGGGGCCAGACAUUUUCAAAGGUGUUGAAGAGAGAAGAGGUCGGACAAAUCAAGAUCUUAGAAGUGCAAGAAUGGAGCUUCUACUGGUGGAUAUUCAAGUGUGCUUUGGAACUUAAUGUCAGCCCCUAUAAAAAAUCUGCACUCGACGAAGCUUCAGAAAUCGAAGAGGCGCCUGCUCAGAAAUCGAAGAGGCGUUUGCUUUCUCAAAAGCUGGGCUGCUCAGAGACCACGAGGGUUUGAUCUCAGAAAUCGAAGAGGCGUUUGCUUUCUCAAAAGCUGGGCUGCUCAAAGACCACGAAGGCCGAUCUCAGAAAUCGAAGAGGCUUGCUUUCUCAAAAGCUGGGCUGCUCAGAGACCACGAGGGCCGAUCUUAGAAAUCGAAGAGGCACCUACUUUUCCAGCCUUGUCAGCACCUGUCACACGCACACUCAGCUUUGCGGAAAUUAUGGGCAUUCUGUCGAAGAUUUCUGGUGAAGUAGAAAGCACAUGAAUCGUACUGUUCAAUCACCCACUUCCCACACGCAACAGUAGCUCAUGGGUACCACAGAUAACUUUGCCAAAGUUCUCUGACAAAGUUGAGACACGUGAAGCUUGCAGCUCCCACUACAUCGCUCUGACCAAGAAGGGUAAAAGAAUAGCAAAGAAACAACACUAACAAAGUUUAGACACAUAAAUUUUGAAGGUCUAGCUACCAUAUUAUUACCCACAAGGGUAAAGGAACAGUACCACUGCUGGAUAAUUGGAAAGUCCCGGUGUGUCAACCUCUGUGCUUCGUGGCAAGGUAGACUAGCAAACAUGCCCAACCUUUACUCACAUUCGAGAAAACACUCCCAACAAGAUUGCUUGCUCCAAAAUCGAAGAGGCACCCGCUCCUCCGAAUCUCGAGAGCCAGACUCCCAACAUGAUUACUUUCUCAAAAAUCGAAGAGACAUCCGCUCUCCGAAUCUCGAGAGCCAGACCUCCAGCAGGAUUGCUUUCUCAAAAAUCGAAAAGGCAUCGUUCUCCGAAUCUCAAGAGCUGGAUCCCUGACAGGAUUGCUUGUUCGAAAACCAAAGAGGCACCACUUUCCCAACUUCAAGAGCUGGAUCUCCUUGGAUAAAGCUUGUCUGUAAUCUUCACACACGCAACAUCAGCUUUUCCAGAUACCACAGACCCACUUUUUCAAAGUGCUCUGACAGAGUUAAAACUUGUGAAGCUGGCAGCUCCCACUACCGUGCUAUGACCAAGCAGGGUAAAGGAAUAGCAUUAUUACUUGAUGUUAGGGAGACUCCUAUAUAUGUCGACCUCCAUCCCCAACGGACAGGCAGACCUGCAAAAAUGCUCAACCCUUCCUCUUAUCUGAGAGGGCACUCCCAACGAAGCCUUUCGAAAUAUUCAGCUUUCUUUCCCCCCGAUAAUACCUCUGUAAACAAGCUAUACUAGAGCAAGAAUAUCUCAUAUCAUCAGGGUUAAAAGCAAGAGUAUCCCAUAUCAUGCUUUUUUCCCGUCUUUUCCUUUGGCCUUGUUCUUACCUGCAAGACAAGGAGAAAGAGAGCAAUCAGUCAGCACUUGGAAUCAAGCUUCCAGCCAGGAACUGACUGCCUGGAACCCCUUACCUGAUUACUUACCUGGCAUUGCUCUCGAGUACUCAUCUUCAACAUCUUAUGCUUCCAGGGAAGAUACCGCAAUCGCCUGAAGAACAGAUAGGGCAAGUGAGAAGGAUACAAGGAAGCAUGUGGAGACAAGCGUAACAGCACACGUGCCGAUACAUCCACUACUCUGUCAAAAGCAAAAGUAUCUCAUAUCAGCAGGGUCGAACGUACUCUAGAUUUGAUGGACUUGUUUUGACCCUCAAAUUCUUCAGUCGGCCUUAUACUCUGGAGGAAACCAGAAAACCCUCCAGCCCAGUUCAAGAAUAAGCCUGUGGAAAGUUACUUCUUCAAAAGCAAAAAGUAUCCCAUAUCAUCUCUUCUCAUUUUUCUUCUCUUUAUCCUUCAUGCUGCAUGCAAGAUAGGGAGAAUGUGAACAAUCAGCCGGAGCUCUGAUUGCUUACCUUGUCUGUCAUCUCUUUCAGCAGAUCCCCUAGCUCGGCGACUUAGGGGACUCCUACUACAUGGUUUGUAUCGCGCUUGACCAAGCCUGAAACUACAAGUAAGCUUCAAGUGACAAUUGAUACAUUACCUUGUGCAUCUCCACCAGUUACAGAUACCACCCCUGGAUGGAGGAAGAGUACUUCCAGAGAAGAUGCCACAUCUACCUAUGAGACAGAUAAGGAAAGUCAAGACGAUACCACACUCCGGUACUUAGAAGUUUCGUGGUUACGAGAUCAUUCUCCCACAAUAUUUCCUAAUGUCAUUUGUACUAAAUCAUUCACUUGUACUCACUAAAGGAGAGCUUGAACCUAUGUACUUGUGUAAACCCUUCACAAUUAAUGAGAACUCCUCUAUUCCGUGGACGUAGCCAAUCUGGGUGAACCACGUACAUCUUGUGUUUGCUUUCCUAUCUCUAUCCAUUUAUAUACUUAUCCACACUAAUGACCGGAGCAAUCUAGCGAAGAUCACAAAAAGUGACCGUUUUCGCUACCUAGGAUCUAUCCUUGCAAGAGAACGGAGAAUUAGAUGGAGAUCUCAACCAUAGAAUACAAGCUGGAUGGAUGAAGUGUAAGAGUGCAUCCGGCGUGUUGUGUGACCGUCGUAGGCCACUGAAGCUCAAGGGAAAAUUUUAUUUUAUAGGACGGCAAUAAGGCCAGCGAUGUUGUAUGGCACAGAAUGUUGGGCGGUGAAGCAUCAACACGUACACAAAAUGGGUGUAGCGGAGAUAAGGAUGCUUCGUGGGAUGUAUGGGCACACGAGAAAGGAUAAGAUUGGGAAUGAGGAUAUCCGAGGUAAAGUAGGAGUAGCCAAAAUUGAAGGAAAUAUGAGAGAAAAUCGGUUCCAGUGGUUUGGACAUGUGCAAAGAAGGCCUACUGACGCUCCGGUUCGAAAAUGUGACUACGGGACAGAGGUUCAGGGCCGAAGGGGUAGAGGAAGACCUAGGAAAACUUUGGAAGAGACCCUAAGAAAAGACUUGAGUACUUGGAUCUAACGGAGGACAUGACACAAAACCGAGCGCAAUGGCGUUCUAGGAUUCAUAUAGCCGACCCCACUUAGUGGGAAAAGGCUUUGUUGUUGUUGUUGUUGUUGUGGUCACUCUUAAAACCUUACCUAAGAGACCCAAAAACAAAAAUAACCGCCGAAAGAGCUAAACAUACAUAUAUAGAAAAACUUAAUUAACUGCAUGCUAAAAUGGAAGUGUAAAAUUGCCAAGAAAGAUAAGAAACUAUUUAAAUACGAAUUCUGGGCAUUACCGCCACAAAAGGCAUGAGCCGAACAGCUAUCAACAAGAACACACUUCCCAUUCAUCCAGAUAGCCCUUGUAUUUCACAUCCAUAUCUGCAUUUUCCAACAAUUCCCACUUAAACAGAAACACAAAAUUCAUCGAAAAAAUGCUAACUUCUUCGAAAUUUGAAUCCAACGUUUCGUCUUAUAACAAAUGCAAUAACAUAGAUUUGUAAUCAAUUCGAUGCCAUAAAGUUCAAGCUCAAAAUUUCAAAUCAGCUCCAAAUCAAAAGCAUUUACAGAUACAUACAUAUAUACAUAUGCGUGUGUGUGUUUAUCUACAUACCCAGGUUCAUGGCGUUGAGAGCUCGGCAGGCGACGGAGGGUGAUGACGGCGACGCCAAUUGGGUGGACGCUGCCCUUCGAAUUGGGUCGCUCCUCGCAAUAAGCUUCCCAUUACUUCCGUUUGAGAGUGACUGUCAGUGUAGAGAGAGGGAUUUUUUUUUUGUGCUUCUGGACCGGACUACACUUGAUGUUUCGGUUAUAUUACCGGGAAAAAGAACUGCCGCGGUGGCUACGCAGGGAAACUUGAAAUUUGAAAGAAGUAUGAAGUAUGGACUUGCCUUCAUUUAUUGAACUGAGAAAUCGAAAUCUGAAAGAGGCGUUUGACGAAGUGAUUGUGAUCUGACUCAAACAUGUGAUGAUGACGAUGCAUCACCACCUUGGUUGUGCCUCUGGAUCAAAAACAUACCAUCACCAUCAAAAUCGUGCAUAUUUUCCUUCAUAGGUUUGUCCCAUACUAGAUUAACCCCUAUUCCCUUAAUUAUUGCAUAAUAAGAAUUAUAGCAUGUCUCUGGCAUUCCAACGGCUAUAUCAACUUUAUCCCCGCUUUGCAAAUUGAACUUAUCGUUGGACAUUUGUCCCUGCCAAAGAAAACAUUUUUCAGGUAAACCAUCGUGCAUUUUUAUAACCCAAUCUUCCUUGCCUAUGCAGGUUUGCAACUCAGUACGCUUGGUAUUAUUUAUAUCAAUACUGCCACGAGGAUGACAAUAUUUAAAGCUCAUAGAAGGGCUUGAGGGACAAGUUAAGUGAUAAAAGCAUAACAGAGUCAACCCUUCAAAAUUACGACCAUCACUUGGGGGGUAUCAAAACUGACUUUAUCACCAUCGUUGACAAACUCGAACCAAUCAGGAACAUAAUUCGCAUCGAGAAAAAUGCCAGCAUAUCCGUAAGAAGUCCAUCCCUAUAUAUACAGUGCAAGUGUCAUAUACAUACAUACAUACAUACAUACAUACAUAUAUGUAAAUGUGCAUUGUGUGUGCAUGUGCGCAAUAGGAAGACAAUUAAAGAGAGAGAUACCUUUAGGACCUUCCUCCUAAAAUCAGCUGUGAGAUUGGUGCACUUUUGCAUUACAAUCCAUUUCAUGGAGUUUAAUGACUUAUCCAAGUCCGGAAUCUCUGUGAGUGCGUGUGAACCAGUUACAUUCAGUUCUCUCAUAUUUGACAUUUUCGAAAAAUUGGGCAUUUUUACCAAACAACAGCAACCAUAAGCAUCCAGAAAUUUCAAAUUUGUUGGUAAAUCAUAGAUUGUAUGAAGCUGGGAACAAUAACUUAACCACAUACCUUCAAGCUUUGAAAGACCAUUGAGGCUGGGUAGGGUGUGUAAGAUACUGCAGUGACUUAACUCCAGAGUUUUAAGAUUUGAAAGACCAUUGAGGCUGGGUAGGGUGUGUAAGUUACUGCUGUGACUUAAUUCCAGAGUUUCAAGAUUUGAAAGACCAUUGAGGCAGGGAAGGGUGUGUAAGUUACCACAGUGAUUUAACCACAUAGUUUUAAGAUUUGAAAGACCAUUGAGGCUGGGUAGGGUGUGUAAGUUACUGCAGUGACUUAACCACAGAGUUUUAAGAUUUGAAAGAUCAUUGAGGCUGGGUAGGAUGUGUAAGUUACUGCAGUGACUUAACCCUAGAGUUUUAAGAUUUGAAAGACCAUUGAGGCUGGGUAGGAUGUGUAAGUUACUGCAGUGACUUAACUCCAGGGUUUUAAGAUUUGAAAGACCAUUGAGGCUAGGUAGGGUGUGUAAGUUACUGCAGUGACUUAACCAUAGAGUUUUAAGAUUUGAAAGACAAUUAAGGCUGGGUAGGGUGUGUAAGUUACUGCAUUGACUUAACCCCAGAGUUUUAAGAUUUGAAAGACCAUUGAGGCUGGGUAGGGUGUGUAAGUUACUGCAGUGACUUAACUCCAUACCUUCAAGCUUUGAAAGACCAUUGAGGCUGGGUAGGGUGUGUAAGUUACUGCAGUGACUUAACUCCAGAGUUUCAAGAUUUGAAAGACCAUUAAGGCUGGGUAGGGUGUGUAAGUUACUGCAGUGACUUAACUCCAGGGUUUUAAGCUUUGAAAGACCAUUGAGGCUGGGUAAGGUGUGUAAGUUACUGCAGUGACUUAACCACAGAGUUUUAAGAUUUGAAAGACCAUUGAGGCUGGGUAGGGUGUGUAAGUUACUGCAUUGACUUAACCCCAGAAUUUUAAGAUUUGAAAGACCAUUGAGGCUGGGUAGGAUGUGUAAGUUACUGCAGUGACUUAACUCCAAAGUUUUAAGCUUUGAAAGACCAUUGAGGCUGGGUAGGGUGUGUAAGUUACUGCAGUGACUUAACUCCAGAGUUUUAAGCUUUGAAAGACCAUUGAGGCUGGGUAGGGAGUGUAAGUUACUGCAGCGACUUAACCCCAGAGUUUUAAGCUUUGAAAGACCAUUGAGGCUGGGUAGGGUGUGUAAGUUACUGCAAUGACUUAACCCCAGAGUUUUAAGAUUUGAAAGACCAUUGAGGCUGGGUAAGGUGUAUAAGUUACUGCAGUGAUUUAACUCCAGAGUUUUAAGUUGUGAAAGACCACUCAGGCCGGGUAGGGUAUGAAGGUUACAGCAGUUACUUAACUGCAAAUUUUCAAGUUUUGAAAGACCACAUAGGCUGGGUAGGGUAUGAAAAUAAUGUUUUGAGAGAUCUAAAUUUCCGUCUAACGAAUUGGGAAACUGCAAAGUAAACUUCGAUUCCACAGACGCUAGAGAUAAAUGAGUGAGAUUCUUCAAUCUUACUAUGGAACAGGGUACUUGUCUUAUGGCUGUGGAAGAUGCUAUAAGUACUCUCAAUGAUGUCAUCUUCCCUAAAUCCUCGGGCAGUUCACUGAAUUGCUGACAUCCAUUAAGAACAAGAGUCUGAACGGAUUUGGACUUGUAGAAAUCCCCAGGAAGAGAAAUAAGAUUCUGGCAGCCUGUGAGGUUCACCAAAGAAAGUUUUUUAAGAUGACAAAUGGAGGGGUGAAUCUCGGACAAACUGUUACACCAUUCCAAUAUCAACUCUUCAAGAUUUAGGAGAUUUGAAAAGUCUGGUGAUUUUUUUAAGUCAAGGCAAUAACUGAGAUUAAGGAUUUUCAAGUUUCCAAGCGACUGUUGCACAAAAUCAAAGGAAAAUUAAAAUUAAUAUCCAAAAACAAAUGGAAACAUAACAUCAUCAUGUGUAAUCGAUUGUACCUUGGAGCCCUCCCAAACUUGUACAAGUCUGCUAUACGCUAUCUCUAAAAUAACCAGUGCUCUUGGUUGAUCAAAGAAGUGAUCUGGUAUGGACUUUAAAGGGCAUCCAAACCAACGCAACCAUAUUAACUCUUUGGAAAGAUGUUUGUAUUCUCCAUUGAGCUGCACGUUGUAGAGCUGCAGCAGUCUCAGUUUCUUCAUAUUGGCAAAUGCUUCUGUACUGAAGCUUCGAAGCCUUUGCAGCCAAUGAUCUCCAGAAAAAUUAAGAGCAAGUCCUUUAACUUCUUCAGUUCCCUGUUAACAAAAGGUUAUAUUCAUGUGUAAGAAACGGAAUAUUUGCAUAUGUUUACAUGUAUGAAUACAUGCAAGUACUAUUGUUGGCUAAUUGAGAUGAUGUUACUUAAUGUAUAAUACACAUCCGUGAGUUAUAUGUGCUUUUCAUGUACGAUGCAUCAAUUCAGAAUUUUAUUGGGACUAUACUUACAAAUUUAUCUCUCAAUACAUCAAUGACCUCUUGCUGGUUCCACAACCUACUCCAUUCUCCAGGGUGACGAGGGGAUUUUUCAGAAAUGAUUAAUUUGGCCAUUUCUUGAAGCAAAUCAUGCAUAUUCAACUUCUUGUGUUCAAUAGUGAUAAGGCAUCGUUCACAGAGGACAUUGAUUCCUAUUGUUGCAAAAAACUUACAUCCAUCUAAUAUUUUUGCGACAUAGUCCUUAUCCCAUCCAAUAAAGAAACAAGAUAUGUCAAGGAAUAUAUCCUUUUGUGUAGGAUCUAGCCUUUCAAAGCUUACUCUUAGUGGUUUCAUUAUUCCUUCAUCAGGAAAUUUUUUCAAUUUCUCCAACUGACUUUUCUACUCUGUUGGUGUUCUUUCAAUCAUAAAAGAAGAACCUAAAACUGCAAGGGCUAGUGGCAAACCACCACAGUAAGAAACAACCUCUUUUGAGAGUUCAAGAUAUCCUUCAUUAGGCCAACUCUUUCCAAAGGCAUGCCAACUAAAGAGCUUCAGAGCUUCUUCUUCAUUCAUUUCCUUAAGUGAAUAUGUCUUGUCCACUUUCAUGUUCACUUGCUUUAGAAAACGUUCAUCUCGUGUCGUUAUGAUAAUUCUACUUCCUGGGCCAAACCAAUCACGAUUUCCAGCUAUUGCAUCUAGUUGUUCCACUUUGUCUACAUUGUCAAUAAUGACAAGCACGCUUCUACGUUGGAGAUGAUUUUUUAUCAGACUGAUACCUCUAUCAACACUGGUUAUCUUAGACUCGGUAUGUUUCAAGAUGUCAGAAACAAGUCUUCCUUGCAAAUCAACCAGAUCACAUUCACUAACGUUGGCAAGGAAACUUUUGAAUUGGAACUUAUGAUGAAGUUGGUUAUAAAUGGCUUUGGCAGCUGUUGUUUUACCCAAUCCACCAAUCCCCCAAAUUCCAACCAUGCGAACAACAUAUGAUCCACCAUUUGAAAGAUAAGUGAUGAUAUCUUGAAUGCGAGUAUAUAUUCCAACUGGGUGCUUGGCCAAAUGUAAAUUUUCUGCGCUCGGAAGCCAUUUUGGGAUAAUCUUGUCAACAAUUUCUCUAAUAAGCUUUGCUUCGCGCCUGAAAAAUUGAAUUGGUAAGCUUAGUAAGUAGGCUCAGUAGGAGCUAUUAGUACUAAUAUAAACAAUUUUCUUUCCUUCUUUCCUUCGUGUGUGUGUGUGUGUGUGUACAUAUAUGUACACAAACUAGCUACUAGCUAGUACGUGAUUUUGUGACCAACUUCAAUAAAAGAAACAAGUUCAUUCAUUGAUAUAUUAAAGUUUGGUGCAUCAAUUAAACUCCAAUUAUGGUUUAGAUUUUAGAGGAAAUUAGAGAAAUGGUCCUUGAACUAUGAUCAAAUUGUGGCCUUGGUUCUUAAAACUAAAAAUUCAAUAAAUCUCCUCCCUGAACUUAACAAAAUAUGAAGCAUUGGUCCCUAAAUGUUAACACCGUAUGAUUUUCUGUUAAUUUGAUUAUGUCGUCUUUGUGGGCUCCAUAUUAUUGUUUACUAGAUGGCACGUGGCUUGAAAAGUCAAAAUAAAAGAAAAUAAAUACAAACAUAGAGAAAGAAAGAGAGAGAAAAAAAAACUUUAAAUUAUAAAAGUUAACUCUCUCUCCCAUCCUCCCUUCCGCCUCACCUCCUCCAAACCCCAACCACACCAUUGUAGCACUUUCCCAACAGCCAAAACAAAAGAAAGUUUCUAAUCCAAUUUUGGAACACGUCUCCGUUUGCAAACGAAUUCACAAUGACAUCCAUUCACGCUGUCUCGACAGGUAAGAUUCAAGAAAUUUGUGGGAUGCGGGUUCGGGGUUCGGGUGAAGGCUGUGGUCCGUGGGCUACAGUUUGGAGUCGGCUGGAGAGUGGGAUUAGGGAUUGGGGGUUGGAAGUGGGAGGUUGACGGGGUGUGAAUCAAAGAUUGAAGGUGAAGGGGUGGCUGCGAGUGUUGGUGGGAUGAGGUAGGUGAAACUAACAUGUAAAGUUGUAAACCCUUUUAACUAAAAUUUAAAGGAAUUGGUUACGAAGGACUAACGCUCCAUAUUUUAUCAAGUUCAAGGGCAAAAUGUAAUGAAUUUUUAGUUUAGGAACCACAGCUACAAUUUUCCUCUAGAUUUUAUAUGAGAGAUUAAGGCGUAUUAAUUAAGCAUGAUAAUUAGAGUAAUACAACUUAAAUACUGAAAGCACAUGAAUGAUUACCUAUUAUCAGUGAUUUGAAGAUGGUAGCCAGACAAAUUUGCAGCUUUUGUAAGAACCUCUCCCCACUGCUUUACCUCUUCUUGUUUAGCUUCACGUUUCUUGUCAUCCUUUUCUUCACCGACGCCUUCUUCGUGCUUUUGAAAUUCUUCGGCUGACUUUGCAGCUUCUGUAAGAGCCUUUAUCCACUGCUCUACCCUUUCUCGUUUUUCUUCACGUUUCUUGUCAUCUUUUUCUUCACUGAUGUCAUUUUUGUGCUUCUGAAAUGCUUGGGCUAAAACUCCGUUCUGCUUCCUGACAUGUGAAGGAUCAAUGUGAUAGAAUAUUGGCAAAACAUGUCGCCCCAGUUUGUCUCUGCACUCCAUGAUCUUCACCAGCUCGUUAAGACACCAACUCGAAUCCGCAUACCUCUCUGAGAAGACAAUGAUAGAGGUCUUCGAUUCUUCGAUUGCCUGGAGCAGUUCUUUUGGUAUUUCUUCCCCUCUUUUGAGAUCGUCCUCAUCAAUAUAAGCCUGGUAUCCCCUGUCUGUUAAUGCCGCGUGGAGGUGGCCCGUGAAGCCAUUGCGUGUGUCUACACCGCUAAAGCUCAAGAACACGUCGUAAUUCCAAAGUUUUGACUUGGAGGAGGAUGAAGAGGAGGCUUCGUGGGUUGUCAUGGCGGUAUCCACCGUUAUGGCACUGCAGUGGUUCAGAUCACGACUGAAGAAUGGUAGUAGUUGUGUUCGUG